AAAAAAAAAAAAAGUAAAAAACAAAAAAUAUCCCUUGACUUUAGGAAAAAAAAAAAGACCCUAAGGACUAUGCAAUAAUAACACUUUAUAAAAAUUCCAAAACACUCCUAAUUGUGUGUUAAAUCAUUUGGUUUUUAAAAGGCAAAAUAGUCAUCUGCACUUGUUUACAAUCCAUAAUAAAAACAUUAAGUAUAAUUAGUGUUAUAUAUAAUAUUAAUUAAACUAAAUUUUUAACAUAUUUUUAUAUCAAUUUGAUACAUAUAAAAAAAUAAUUUUUUGCAAGUAUGAAUUUUAAAUUUUAAUAAUUGAUGAUUUUUUUUUCGAGCAAUAAACCUAGUGCUUGGAAUGGAACAUAUAUUUUUACAUUAUCAACACUAAUUGUACAAGUACACCAUGCAAAUCACACUGGAAAAAAAAUUCAUGCUAACACUAUGCGAAAUCAAAGAUUAGUUAAUGUACUGGUCAGAUUUUAAGUUUGUUUUUUAAUGUUUAUGAGUUCGAGUCCUUUUAAGGUCACUGAAGACUUACAUGAUCGUUAACUUUAGAAUCCGCGAGAUUAGUUGAAGUACACAUAAGCUGACCCUAACACCCACAUUAAUAAAAAAAAUUAGUUAAUAUACAUGUUAUUGUUUUCAUAAAUUGUGCUUAAAUAAUUAGUUGUAGAAAGUGAUUAUGUUUUUUUUUAUAUAAAAAUAUAUUAGUAUUAUAAUACGUGUUAAUAGAAUUCUAAGUUAAUUUAAUGUAUUAUAUAACACGAGAAGAAAUCAAACAUUAUAAAUACAUUUUUUAUUUGCAUAAUUUUUUUAAUUAAGUAGUGAAAGAAUGUUAUCUACAUUUAAUAAAAUAAAUUAAAAAUAAUAUAUGAACUUAUAAAUUAAAAAAAAAAAUACUCAAUAGAGACUUAAAAUAAAAAAAAAAUUGAUGAUUGAAAUCGGUAAAGGGGGUUGAAACGAAAUGCUGAAAUUUUUAUUAGGAUAUGAAAAUUUGGUAAAAAGUUUUUUUUUUUUUUUGUUGAAUUGAGUUAGGCCAAGAGGGUUGGAUAGACCUACCAUUUAUUUGUUAGGGAAAGGCACCGCACCGCCAAUGACCAUUGACAUGCUGCCUUGCCUUGUCCGUCAACUCAUCCCCGUGACACGUUGCCGCUGUAUCCACCGCCGAUGUUUAUCUAGCAGAAGCAAUCAGAAAUGGAUUGAAAAACAAAUUAUUCCUCUACAGUUUCCAUCCUACAAUCCAUCAAAUUCACUAUUAUACCCUCUCCGCUAUGUUAAUGACAAUACCACCCUUGACAAACAUCUUAAACCCUAUAACUUGGAUUGUGUUUGAUGUCGCGCUAUAAUUGUAUUUUUAAAAAUUAUUUUGUUUUAAAUUAUUUCAAUAUACUAUUUUUAAAAAUAAUUUUGUUAUUUUAAAAAUAUUAUUUUAAUAUAUUUAUUAAAAAAACAUUUCUAAACAGUCACUUCAGCAAUAUAUCUUUCAAGAGCCCUCGCUCUGAAUCUCUCUUAAACCCUAGCUGCUUCCCUCCUUUCACUCUCCCAAAACUAAAACCCUUUCCCUCUUUUCUUCUUUGAAGGUAUAAUCCUUACCCUCUUUGCUUAAGCCCCAGUUUAUAGCUCAACUCUUUUUGUUUCUCUUUGUCUUGAGACUUUAUGUUUUCUUGUAUUUGACUGUUUGAUGCUGGUGUUUUUUGUAAAAAAGUUAUGUUUUUAAUGAUGUUUUAUGGAUCAUACAUGGUUUGUUUUUGUUUAAGUUUCGUUCUUUCUGCCUUAUCUCUGAUAUUGUUUUGCUGUUUACUAAACUGGGUUUGUUGGGUUGUAUUCUUAAAAAGGUUUUGUUUUGAGAUUUGGUUUGCGUAUUUUUGUUUUGGGUUAUGUUUUGUUUGCCACGCGAUUGACUCUUUGUAUUUCCUUAAGCCCCAGUUUAUAGAUGAACUCUUUUUGUUUCCCUUUCUCGUGAGACCAUGUUUCCUUGUAUUUGAUGUUUGAUGCUGGUGUUUUAUGUAAAAAGUUUUUUUUUUAUGGUGUUUUAUGGAUCACACAUAGAUUGUUUUUGUUUCAGUAAAGUUUCGUUCUUUCUUUCUUAAUCUCUGAUAUUGUUUGGUUGUGUACUAAACUGGGUUUGUUGGUUUGUCUUCUUAAAGGGUCUUGUUUUGAUAUUUGGUUUGUGUUUUUUGGUUUUGGGUUAUGUUUUAUUUGCCACGUGAUUGAUUCUGUCUUGUUUAUAAGAUUUUCUUCUCUGUUUGAAGGUUAAUUUAUUUUUCAGAUUAUUAUUGAUAGCCUUUUAGAGUGUUUUUUUUUUCUUCUUAACUUGGGCUGCGUAUGGAGUGUGAAUGGUGUGAGUGCAGGCUCAACUAAUCUUUUAGAGUUUUUUUUUUGGUUUUCUGAGUGAUUUUUGUGUUCUGAAUAAUCCAUUUUGUUCUUGUCAAUGUUUUCAGUUUGUGUUUUUUUAUUCGAAGUUAGCUUCUUGAUCUCUUAAUAAACAAUGAAUUUGAAAAUCGACCCCAUUAUUUACUGUGGCUUUGAGAUAUUGCAUGAUUGUGAAUUGGUUUACUAUGUUUUGAGUUUGUUUGGGUUGAAUAUUGUUAAUGCUUGAUACUGAUGCUGUGAUAUCCCUGUGGUGUAGUCCAUAAUUGAAAUGGCAUUCUUUAACAAGCUCGGGAGCCUAGCGAGGCAGUCAAUUUCCCAGAAGGGGCAAGUUCCAAUGGUGUCCAUGUUGAACUCUAUUCGCUGCAUGUCUUCAUCCAAGCUUUUCAUUGGAGGUACUGAUUAAUUGCUGUUUGAAUGCUACAAGUGGUAUUGAUGAAUACAUGAUUUUUGGAUGAUACAAGUUCAUGUGUGUUUUGCAUUAAUGCUCUGCUGUUGUCUAUCUUGUCUGUGUUUUAGGGCUUCCAUGGUCAACUGAUGACCAAACCCUUAAAGAUGCAUUUUCUGGCUUUGGGGAAGUGACAGAGGGUAAGUUUGAUCAUGUGUAGUUGAACCAGUUAUAUAGCAAAGGGUUCUUUUAUUAAAUCUCGUUGUUGAAUCAAACAUGAGCACAAUAUUUUUCUCUGGGGCUGUUAAAUGAUGACUGAGACUGGUGGAUUAUAUUUUCAGUUGAUGUCUUUGAAACUAAACUUUGGCAUUUGGAUUUGUUGGUAUUUGAUUUGGUGGUUUGGAUACUACAAUUUGUGAGGUUUAUCUUUAAUGCGGCAAUUGCUGAUUACUGCUUGUCCAUGUAUGGAGUGACAAGUGCUAAUAGCUUCUUGUAAUUGUCAUCUAAUAACAUGUGGGUUUUGCUUUAGUUCUUAGAUGUGAAUUGGUGUUAAUGUAUUUUUACAUGUGAAAUGACAGUGGUCCGGUUCUGUUCAAUUAUUAGGUUUCAAAAUUAAUAUGUUAUUUUCCAUGUCAAAUUUUUCCUGAUCUGAUUCUGCUUUGACAAUUUCAGAAAGAUAAGUGUUAUUUUUAAUGACAGUAAUUGUGAGUUUAGUGUGGUAGCUGUUGCUAAACGUUCUUUACUUGGCUGGGUGGUGCUGUCAAUGUUGGGAUUCACAAUCUGGUUCUGUUUUACAGCAAGGGUUAUCAUGGAUAGAGAGACCGGGAGGUCUCGUGGAUUUGGGUUUGUUCAUUACGACAGCGUUGAAAAUGCCAGCGAAGCACUUUCAGCAAUGGAUGGCCAGGUCAGAAAUAGAAUGUUUUUGAGGGAGUUGAAUGCUCUGAUUCCUGAAUUAUAUACUGACUGACACAUGCUGAUGUUGCAGAAUUUGGGAGGAAGAACUGUUCGAGUGAGCUUUGCCGAGGAAAGGAGACCACCACAAUCCUACAAUGACAAUCACCAAGGGAGUCCACCACAAUCCUACAAUGACAAUCACCAAGGGAGUCGAGGUUUUGAUAAUUAAAGUGGAUGGAUUACAGCUUUAUGCGCUACUAACGCCCUAAAUGGCCUUUCUUCUGUAGCUAGUUGGUUCUAGUCGGAAUAGAGAUUGCAUUUUUAUUUUUCUUGAAUGUUUCUAUAACUUAUGAAAUUAUGUUGUGAUUUUGGCACUUGUGUGCUGGUUACUUAGUUUUUCUGACUGGGUAAAUUCCAUCAUGCUGGAUGAUGGAGGUACAGUUAACGUUUUCAUUAUUAUGGAAGCAUAUUGAUCGGAAGUGUUAUAAUGCACGGGGAAUUUGCAUGAUAUGGUCUGCAAAUCAGUGGGGACUAUUAAGCAAUGAAAAAACUCCCCACUAAUCCAUCGAUCAUGGGUAUAAUAUUGAAAAAACCUCAUAGAAAAAGGAAUUGAAAAAAUAAAAGCAUAAAAGUCAAUUUUUAUUUUAUUAAAUCUUGUAAGGGUAAAAUAAUAAUAAUAAAAAAAACCCUCAAAGAUUCGGCUUUGCAAGCCCAUGGCCCCAUUGUGACAGAUUAGGAGACCGAUGAAACGAUAUCUAAUCUUUGUUUUGAUGAACCACCAAGCCUGGUAAAAUAUAGUGCGAACAACUCUGAGAGGAAUAGUACAAAUAAUCAGGUUCAGAGUUUGAUUUUUAAAGAUAUCCGUUUGAGUUUUACAAACUUCAGGGCUACUAAAAUUUAUAUAGUUAUUAAUUUCAGGACCCGUGAGAUUAGUUGAGGUGUGUACAAGCUGAUCCAAACAUCCACGUUACUUCAGGACCCGUAAGAUUAGUCGAGGUGUGUACAAGCUGAUCCAAACAUCCAUGUUAAUACACAAACAUUAGUCGAGGUGUGUACAAGCUGAUCCAAACAUCCAUGUUAAUACACAAACAUAGAGAGAAAAAACUUAAAGUGAAGAUGGUUAACUAUUAAUUAAGAUAUAGUGGUUAAUUAAUUAGUUUUCAUAAACUAAAUGAUUAUGAAGCUAUAAUUAACUUAAAAAAAAAAAGCAAAUAAAAUUCAUUAAACGAUGCCACCAGCAAAAUCCAGUCACUAUAGUGAAUCGUCGACUCCAUUCGUGGGCCUUUCUUGGUUACUAAGGAGCCCAUUGGCUCAUUUGAAAACCAGACUAUCUACAACCUCUCAAGUGAUCCACCAAUAAUUAAGAUGGUUAUUGCCCAACUCUCACAACAAAAUAAAAAACAAAAAAACUAUAAAAAUCCAAAAACCUAGAAAUGUUAAAAGUUGAAUCAUAUCAAGAAAAUUGAAAUAAUCCAUAAAAAAUAUAAAAGAAACAUUGGUAACUAAUAAUUUUUUUUGAAAAACCAUGUCUUGCAUACUUAUUUCAAUGUUAUAGACAAAUUUAUAUUUAUUUACAAGGUUUUAUGACCUUUUUUUAUAUUUUAGAUCUUACAAGCUAUUAUUGUUUUUUUAGAUUUUUAAACUUUCUUCAAUUUUUCAUUUUUUUUAAUGUUUGUAUUCGUUUUUUUUUAUAUAUAUAUAUUUUUUCAUAUUUCUUAAAGUUAAAUUUACAUUUUUUAUAAUAUUUUUCAAAACCAGUUUUUCUUUUAGUUAUUCCAGCGUAUUUUGUACAUGUAGAAGAAAACAUGAAAAAUAUAAGAUCACACGAGAAUAAAAGAAAAUAAAUUAAUUUUUUUUCUAAUUUAUAAGUUCUCUGUCUUGAGAAUAUUUAAGUAUGCGUUUACAAAGUGUAAGCAAUGAUCGGUUUUAUAUUUAUAAGUAAUUAGCAAUUAAGUAGUUGAGGAUUAUCUUUAACGAUCAUAAUUAGUCUUUCAUGAAUCUAGAACUCAUAUUUCAGAUCUUGUUAACUAGAUUAUAAAUCAAAUAAAGACAUUUUAUUCUUUUUUUUAGAAAGAUUAAAAAUCACUCUAAUUCUAAAACUCUAGAGUCUAGAUCCUUGAAAUAUGAGGUAAACCUAUCAUAUCAUAUUUAAAAUUAACACGUGAGGUCCGUGUAUUUCUGCGUUUUAAAAGUGUUUUUAAAAAAAUUUAAUUUUUUUUUAUUAACUUUAAAUUAAUAUGUUUUUAAUGUUAUCAAAUCAUUUUAAUGUGCUGAUGUCAAAAAUAAUUUUUAAAAAAUUAAAAAAAUAUCAUCGGCAUAUAUUUUAUCACAAAAAAUUAUUUAAAAAAUCACUACAUAUAUCAACACUACCAAACAAGCUCUUACCUUUUUUAUAAGCACGAUUAGGGCUUAUAUUUAGGGAAUAAGUAUAGCAAAACAUAUGGUACCAGCUCAAUUAUCCAUGCAAUUACGGGAAUUAGAAUCUUGAAAAAUCAAAUAUAUAUCCCAUGACUCAUGGAAGUGUCGGUGAGCACCAAUGACUGAUCAUGAAACCAGACAGCACAAAAGGUGGGGUCUAGCCAUGCAAGAACAACAUGCAAAAAGAGAAAACAAUAAUAAGGGUGGAAUGCGUGGUUGUGCGAGUCGGUAGUUGGCAGGUCUUUUUCUUGCAUUACUGUAGUCAUGUUCUUAAUUAUUUAUUGCUUAGAUUAUACAACAAAUAAUCAAAAGGAAUGCCACUUUCUCAUGCUUAUCUCCUUUGUUUUUUUUUCCUCUUCUAGGUCAGUCCACUGUCUGCUUUACUUUGUGUCACUUCUUCAAAGUACUACCUACUUACGUUAAUCAAUCAUCUUUACGUGAUUAUAGUGUAAGAAAAUGACGUCUCCCAGUUAACUUCCAUGCUUCUUAAUUUCUUCCCAGAUGUCCAACCACCUGGGGAACGUUUGCAUGAGGUGAAAACACAGGCUACCCGAGAAACGAGCUCUGGCUGGUUUGUUUGGAGGUCAAAUCAGUGCCAUUUUUUCUCAGUUUAUCCCCCCUCCAAGAGCUUGAGAUUGGAUUCCAACCAUAUAUUUAACACCCUGAGAUCGAUGUCUUUCUUAAGCAGAAAGCAUUAGCUUCUUUAUGUUUGCCAGAGCUGACGCUUGCUGAUAGCACAAUUUACAUCGAUCUCAGCUAAUUAUCUCUCAGUCUUGAAUCGCCCUCAAGUGCUUAUCGAUUGGUCAUAUAUAUACAUGUUCUUCAUCAGAUAACAUUUUCCAGCUAAUUAGUCUGUACGUAUAUACCAAGAUUAAAUCCAAUUUUCAAAUUUAAACAAAGACAUAUAUACCGUCCAUAUAUAUAUAUAUAAAAUCUUGAAGUGGGGAAUCAAGGUGGGAAGUAAACGAAUCUGCCUACUUAACCAAUCCACAAGAUUUGAUCAAUUGCUCAUAAAAUGGCAAAAUAACUGCAUGGCCGACAUAACAGUAUUUUUACCCAAAUUCCCAUCGAAUUUGCUUGACAUCUAAAGCUUGACUUAUACGGCAGUAUGGCAGGCAUUUGACAACUAGCGAGUCAUUUUUUAUUUACAUUCCUCAGGAUCUUAAAGAUGCAUUCAAUCCUAGCAAGCUGUGUGUUUGGAUUUAUUCCUCCUUUUUCUCUGCUUGCAGUUCAGUUUCCUCAACGCGUUUUUGUAAUAAUCCUCAUACAUGCUGUCUUCAUUAGGCUGCUUCUAAUUGAAACUGAAUGUUGACUUUUGCCUGCUUUUGUUGAUGCUGUUUUUUCCCUCGGUUGGUGAAGAUCGUCUCCGAUGGGACAAUCGGUUGGUGUUUAAGAUUUUUAUAUCCACUUUUUUUAAUUUAAAUCUUUUAAGGAAUAAAUAGAAAUUUACGGAAAGAAAAUAGCUUGCUAUUAUUCAUCAGAAUCCAAACCUUGCGCUGUGUUUGUUUGCUUAUAUUUUUAAAUCACAAUAGCUGGAUCACAUAUCUCAGUGGAAAUUUCCCAGCUAGAGGAGGGCACCACAAUUUUGUCUCCAGACGAGAGAUACCGUCGUUGACCAUUACACAACUAGGUCAAAAUAACAUUUACUAAUCCAAGGUCACUUUCUAGAGCAUGUGAAAGGAUUUAAUUAGAUCACCUUUGAUAUGAUUUUUAUAAUUUUUUUUAUUCUUGAUUAAAAAAAUGUUAUACUUAAAAAUGACUUUUAACUUAAAUAAAAAAACCUAAUUCAAAAUCAAGUUAAUAUUUUUAUUUAAUUAAAAACUAAAAUUCCGAACUUUAAAUUUAUAAAUUCUAGCUUGCACAAUAAAUCUUAAAAAUAUAGUUUUUACGUAAUUCUAACUUCAAUCAUUUUAGCUCAUUUGAAUUAUAAAUCAAAAUUAAAAAUUAUAAAAUAAUUUUUUAUUAACAUAAAUAUUUGAAUCAGCUUACCUGUAUAUUAAUUAAUUUUAUAAAUUUUAAAAUUAAUAAUUAUAUAAACCACUCAUACUCGUGAAAAAUAUCACCCUCACAACAGUUAGCUGUAAUGUCAUACCAACGUCAAGAAAUUUCAAAUCCCCUUUGGUUGUCCUAAGGCUGUGUUCUUAAUUGGUGUUAAUUAAACCUUGGAUCCCGCAGAAGCUCAGCUGAAACUUCGAAUGCCGAAAAAUUUCAAAUCCCUUGUGGAAAUCCUAAAACUGUGUUCUUAAAUCUGUUAAACCUUGGAUCCCACAGAGGUUAAACCCAGCUGAAGUUUCCCAUUGACCUGAUAUUCUGACUUCUUCUGACAGGGCUAGCUACAGUUUCCCAGGCAUUAAUGGGGAGUAGACACUUCAUGCUGUUGCAUUUCUUUCUCGACAGAUAGAUAGAUAGAUACUAGGUUUAUCAAUUUAAAUGCUACAACAUUAGAUCAUGUCACAAAAUUUUUCUAAUGACACCACAGUACUUUCUCAGUUUUUUUAUUUUGCAAUUAAAUACUAUUAUAUGCCUCUAAUUUAAUGCAUAGUUAUAUGAUUUAAAUCGGCUUAGUGGGUUGACUGGUACCCAACCGACUUGAUAUCUAAAAGACUAAAACGAUUUAGUCUAAAUAAAAAAUAAAAAAAUAAACUAAUCUAUGUUCUAAUCAACCCAAUGAAAACCAAUUUAAAAUCCAUCUAUUUGUUUUUAUUAAAAACAAUAUUAUUUUAAUGUUUUUUAUAUAUAAAAAAAAUUGAUUAACGCCUUCCGACAUGGGAGCAGGCCUUGUCCUGUCUUGAGAUUAAUAAGAAUGAUAUAUUGUUGCUAUGAUUUUUUUACACGGUACAAUUCAAUUCAAUUUAGGAUAUGAUUAUUUUAAUGUGUUGAUAUCAAAAAUAAUUUUUAAAAAUCCUCACGAUCUUGUUCCUGAUGACGUGAGCUCACUUCUGAGCCUAACAUCCCAAAACGCGUACAACAUGUUAGCAACCAAUAAGAUUAACAACCAAAUCCUCACCUGUUGAUGUAAGAUAUUACAAUUGUGACAAUUUUUUUUAUUGUACCCACAAGAAAAUGUUUCAGGAAAUUCCGUAGAAUCAUUUCGUGUAUCAGUAUUUCACUUAAUUAAUUAUUUUUCUUCAAAUAUUCGGAUUGUUUGUGGGCUAACUUAGCUUUGUGAUUAUUGUUUGAAACACCAUCUUAUUAACUGCAACAAUUUAUACAUGUUAAUUUGUGGGUGUACAAGUGUGCUCAGCAUGUCCCAGUAAUUAAUUAUAAUUUUCCUUCAACAUUAAGUAAUUUUGAUGAGUACUAUAUUCUUAAAGCAAAAAUGUCAACAAAAAAACACCCAGCUAUCAUAAUACUUUACUGGCCCUUCUAAUGGCUUCUUCUUGCUUAAGGUUUUUGCAAAACAGACGAAGGACGACAGUGACUGUGAAUUGUAUUGGUCUGUUGGCCUUAAAAAAAAAUGUCAACAAAAAACACUACGAUUAUGAGAAUUUUUUAUACAAUGUCAUUAAACUUAGAAAAAUUGGUAAAUUUUGAAAUUUCUUGACUUGGUUUUUUAAGUUAGCACUAGUUUUUAAUUAAACCACGUAUAAACUAAUUUAAUAUAAAUUAAUUGAUUUUAUAAAUUUAAAGGUAAGUUGAAUGACCAUGAAAAAUAUAGAUUAACUUAUAAAAACACUAAAAAUAAAGGUUUUUUUUUAAGUAUUGAGUCGAUGUCAUAUUGGAUGACCCUGGUCACAAGCGAUUUGGUUCAUGAACUUAGCUGGGUUUAAUAAAAAAAGUUAAAUAAGUUUUUAUUUAAUUAAAUGAUAAAAAUUAGAUGCUCGUAAUUUCAAGGAUCAAUCCUAAAAUAGAUGUUUUUUCAAGGCCAUGAUAACCCUAAAUAAAGUAAAAAAAAAUCAUUUAUGAAGUCUAUUUCUUAACUAAUCUAACAUCGAAGAAUAAAAUCAGGAAAAAAAUAAAAUAUUUUUUUAAUUAUUAUUAUCAACAUUAAGUAAAUGAUCAAAUUGCUCAUGACGAUUAAGCUCUUGAAGUCAUAUUUUAAAAGUGACAUUAAAAAAAAAACUUUAUACCCAAGUUAAGUGUUGUUUUGCAUUUGGCAUUUUAGUAACUCAACUUUGCAAAAAUCAAAAAAGCAAAAAUAUAAGAGUAACCUUGAUCAAUUAAAAAAUAGUUAAUCCAUAAUAAUUGAAGGAGGGUGAGUAUUAAAGUCAUAGUAGGAAAAACCAGUAAAUUUACUAUUUCAACCCAUAGUAAUUGAUCCGGACAAAUCUUCUAAACCUAAGAACUCGGGUUCAAUUAAGAAUCUCAAUUGUGAACCAAUUUAAUGCUAAAUAAUAAUUUUUCUUAAAAAAAUCCCAAAUUAAAAAACUAACCAAAGAAAAAAAAACAAAAAAGAAAAAGAAUGAGCAUCAUAUAUGAAAGGAGGGAAAAAUAAAGGGGUGUAAUUAAAAAAGAAAACAAUGUAAAAAACUAUCUUAAAUAAAAAUAAAUAAAUAAAAAGAAUGAAGAUCAAAUCUGAUAGACUAAAAAAAUUAAAGGAGGAUGCAAUUGAAAGCAAAACAACAUUUGAAAAAUGAAUUAAAAUAAAACAAAUACAUAUAAAAAAAGGACAAAAUCAAAAUAAAAAUAACUUGAAGGACUAAUAUGAUAAUGUGGAGGGUCAGACAUGGAUUUUUAGAAAGAAAGAGAAAAGAAAAACAAAACAAAAGAACGUUGACAAUGCACCUACUAAUUUUCAACACAUUCUCGUACACUAUUAUCCUCUUCUUUCUUGAAUAAUUAUUGCACCUACUAAACCAUCCAGGUGGUGGCCCAGUGGUAAGAAUUUGGGACCAAGAGGUUUGCUCCCUUUAUGGUCUCAGGUUCGAGUCCUGUGGUUGCUCAUAUGAUGGCUACUGGAGGCUUACAUGAUUGUUAACUUCAGGGCCCGUGGGAUUAGUCAAGGUGCGCGCAAGCUGACCCGGACACCCACGUUAAACUAAAAAAAAAAUUGUUGCGCCUACUAAAUUUCUUCCACUUUCAAAAUUUGAUUAGAUGAUUAAUGAUUGUGUUAGUUGUUGUUGCCCUUCACUCGUCUUCAAUCUUGUAAUCAUGUAGACAUGCAAACUCAACCUUGACUAGCGUGCAUAGAAUGAGUUUUUUUGUCACGUCGAAGAGGAUAUUUUUCAACUAACUUUUACGCUUUGAGGUUAAAUCCUUCUUUGAGUGGAUUUUAAGCUAACCAUCUAUAUCCUCCUGAUCAACACAUUAAAAAAAAAAGAAUUUAAUUCUUACUAAAUCUCCCUGGAAUUUGUAAAAUAUGGAUAAAUCAAUGUCUAUAUUUGUAGUUCUAGAUUAUGAUAUUUGAUGUCGUAUUCCUUACAGCGAAAUAGUCCUGUAAUUUAUUAUUCAAAAACAUAUUGUUUAAUUAUUAAAAUUAAAUAUGAAAUUAUUUUACAUUAUGUAUUAACUAAAUUCUUGGAUAUUACAUGAUUUUAUGUCCCAUCUUGGCUAUACCACCUGAAUUUACUGCAAGGAUUAUGAUAUUACAUGAUUAAAUAUUUAACCACUAUAUAUGUACUUAUCUUUAUUACCUAAUUUGACAAUUAACGAAUUGAUUUAGGGAUAAACAUGGAAGGGACAGCCUUGCCCCCUCUUUACUCAUGAUGCUUGCAAACAACAUGAAAAAGGCACCUUGAAAAAGAGAAAAAGAAAAAGAAUAUAUAAAAUCUUUUACAUAUAUGAUAUUUUUCAAAAAUAUUUUUACAUAGAAAUAUAUUAAUUUUUUUUUAAAAUAUUUUUAAUAUUAACCCAUCAAAAUCAUCAGAAAAAUUAAUUUGAUUCUUUCUCAAAACAUUAAUUUAAUACUUUUCACCCUUUUAAAACAAAUCUAUUCUUAAAAUGGAAACGCAGGAACAAACGUGGGCUAAAAAAGAAGAAAAAGCUAAUUAUAACCAAACAAAGAAAAUUCAAGGCAAUAAAGCAUCAAAAUAAUUAAAAAGAAAAAAGAAUCUUAAUGUGAUCAUUGUUGUUCAAUCACAAAUUUCUUUAAUAUGAAUUCUAUUGGUUGAGAUCUGCAUCCCCUUUUGAGCAGAAGUCUCAUACCAAAUUAUUACAUCCUCCAACUUCACAGAUCUUACACCUUGCCCCCCUGCCCUUUUUUUCUUCUCUUCAUUCACAUUUAUAUCUUCUUCUUCUGUAUCAAAUCUAUUUCUAUAUGCUACAACAUCAGCGACAGCUGCCACAAUUUUAACCAAUACAUCGAAGGACCACGACAACAACUUGAACCCAAUAAAAGAGAGCGUAGAACUCAUUUAAUUCACAAAAAAGGGGGGGAAGAAAAAGAAAAGACCAACCAUGUGAUGAUGAUCAUGGAUGGACCCUUAAGCUGAUUCCUCGGGAUGCUCACUGUUGAUAGCACUGCCCUUCUUUACCCUUGUCUGAAUCCCAUAAUAAUUAACAUACCACUUGACAAAUUUCCUCAACCCAGUAGCCAAAUCUGUGGAGGGUUUGUACCCAAAAUCCUUGAAUGCCAAAGUAACAUUAGCAUGUGUGUAAGGCACAUCCCCAUUUCUUGGCAUCUUGAUCACAUGCUUCUUUGCUUUUGUACUCAAGAGUCCUUCCAAAAUUGACACCAAAUUCGCAACAGGAACUGGUGAGGUGUUGCCAAGGUUGUAAACUCUCAACUGUGCAGGCCCUUUCUUUUUUCCACCACUUCCUGUGCUCUUCUCAGCUGUGUCCAAUGCCCCGAGACACCCUUUGACAACAUCAUCAAUGUAAGUGAAGUCACGAGCCACUUGCUUGUCAUCUUGAGUUUGGUAGACAUCAAUUGGUUUACCUUGCAAGAUAUCUUUUGUGAAGAAGAAAUAAGCCAUAUCAGGUCUACCCCAUGGACCAUAAACUGUGAAGAAUCUUAAUCCAGUGAGUGAAAGACCAUAAAUAUGAUUAUAAGUAUGUGCAAUCUCUUCUCCUGCUUUCUUGGUAGCUGCAUAAAGACUUGCUGGCUGAUCUGUUCUAUCCAAUUCUGAGAAGGGUACUUGAGUGUUCAGUCCAUAAACUGAACUUGAUGAUGCCCAGACAAUAGCUGGCUGUGGAUUUGCAGCUUUUGCAACUUCAAGAAGAUUGACAAAACCUGCAAUGUUUGAGCUCACGUAGGAUUGUGGGUUUUGCAUGGCAUAACGAACCCCAGCUUGUGCAGCAAGAUGGAGGAUGUGUGUGAAAGGAACAACAUCAAAAAGCUUUCUUAACAAUGAGGCAUCAUUCAAGUCACCUUCAACAAUGAAAACUUCAUGUCUCAACAGAAGUUUCUGUCUUGCUCUUUUAAGUGUUGGGUCAUAGUAACUGUUGAAGUUAUCUAAACCAAGAACCCCAUCACCUCUUUUCUUCAAGGCAAGAGAGCAAUGAGAACCAACAAAACCAGCUGCCCCAGUCACUAAAACAGAGAGCCCAUUUCGCCUUUUUGGAGUGGAGGAGUGGCGGACUUGCUUUUCCCAGGCAGCGCCACCGCCGGCUGAGGAGGUGAAGAAGGCAGUGGAAAGGAAGUUGUGGUGGUGGAGAUGGGCAUGAUUGGGAAUAUUAUCAGAAAGUGGAGGGUAAUUAAGGGUAAAAAAGAGAAUCAACACAAGAGCAAUAAGGAGCGUAGCACGGAAGAGAAGUUUAGAGGAGGCAUUCAGUACUUUUGUACUAUGUAGCCUGCGAAGGUAACUAUUGUAACGCUCAAGCUUUAUGGUCUUGCUUGUGUCUGGUGGUGAAGCCAUUUCUUUGUGUCAAAGAAAGAAAUCAACAAGUGGUAUUGCUAUCAAGGAAGACGGUGAGCGGUGGUCUUGCUGUUGUUAAGGUUUCGAGGGGAAGAAAUCAAAGGGCUAAAUGUGCUAGAGCUGAAUUUCGAGUUAGAGCCCUGAAUUUGUGAAGAGUGGAGAUAGAAGAUUAUAUAGGGGAAAGAGAGGGAGUGGGGAUGGGUUGGUGUUGGUUGGAGACCACUUUGCGCGUCUUUAACACAUACUCUCUUUCUACUAGCUAGGCUAGGCUACUAGCUGCUUACAGAUGGAAAAGUGGGGAAAAGUAAUCUAUUAAAAAACAGAUUUAAGAAAAUGCCCUUAUUUUCAAGUCUUAAUUACAGAGGAAUAUCCAUCCCAUCCUUCGCAAUUAUUAAGUAAUGGAAACUAGAAAGUGCCAGCUACUCUGGUCUGUAGAAAACCUCACUCACAUGUGAGUUCUUGCUCAUAUUCAGGUUCAGGUUCAGGAUUGAUGCGAACACUACUCCCGUUUUAUUUAACUAAUUCGGGUAUUUUUUUAUUUUUGUUUUUCAAAUCCUAUUCAGACAUGAUUAGUGUACUAGACUUGACAAAAUGGGUUUACCUUAAGCGGCUGUUUCUGGGGUCAACUUGGUUUCAUGCAGAUAAUAAGGGCAUGGAUUUAUGCAAUUUUUUAAUACUAAGAGGCACUGUUAUUUUCAAGAAGUCUAUUCACCUCGUGGACGGGGUGAUUAAUAAUCCUGUUGUUAGCCAAGUAGGCAGAGAUAUGUUUGGUAGUGUUUGGUAGUGUGCGGGGUGUGAUUAUAAUUAUAUUUUAUUUAGUUUUGAAGUCUUUCUUUAAUCAAUAUAUAUAUAUAUAUAUAAUGUACCCAUAUCAUGAUCCAGACCUAGAUAUCGUGUUUAAUUACUAUGUUCCUAACACAACUUCCACAUUCACCUCAUGGAUAAAUCAUGGAUAAAUAAUUUCUUGCAUAUUUGGCGGGGAUAUCUUUUUUCUUUAAUUCUCAUUGUAAUCCCUUUUCCUCUUUAACAUACGAUAAAGAGAAAGGUAUGCUGACAUUAAUUGGGUUUUUGUUUUGGAUGAAAUCGAGUGCCUUUUACUGGUGUUUUUGGAUCUUAUUGAAAAAAGAGAGAGCAUUGAUCUUUAGCUACAGUAUAAUGAAAAUGGAUAUUUUUCAUUUUGUAAUCUCUCUCUCUCCAUCUCUCUGGAUUAGAUAAUCUCUUGUUUCAUGCUUGAACAAGAAUGGUUAAUCACGCAUCUAGAAAGACACAGAAACUCGUCAAUAAAGAAGAUCAAGCUCGAACUACUCUAAAGAUUGAUAUUUUUGGCCGAAGAGAAGAAGAAAGGUUAGAGAAGCAAAUCCACGUGGUAAAGUUGUUGUUGAUUACAAAUGAAUGCUGUUUCUCGUCUGACUGGUAGUUACCGACAAGAGUGUUAAAGCCUAGAACUAUCUUUUACUUUAGAUUUUGUCCUUUGUUAAGGAUCAAAUGGUGCAAUCUAUCCUUUCUUUAAGCACUUGUACGUAUUUGAUGUAGAGUUAGGCUAGUCAAAGUGAGAAAUCGUUUUUUGAAGAAUAAUCUGUUUACUAGUCGGUGGCCUUAAUUACGGAUCUAAACUGGUGGGCUGGAAUUAGGUUAAUGGAUGUCAUUAUUACCUAUUCAUUCUUUAUUUAGAAAUGUUUUUGUCGGUAUUUUAGUAGUGAAGGAACCUUUGAGAUGUAACGUUUGUGGUAAUAACAUAUGUUUUAUAUAUAUCAUAAAAAAAAUUAUAAUUUAUGUACAUUAAUUCAUUCAUUCAAGUGCUAAGAACUCGUUUACAAAUUAACAAACUAGUAAUGUUUUAUCGAAGCGGUCCAAUAGUUCAUAAUUUUUUAAAAUAUUUUCUUCUUAUUAUUUUUUCAUAUUAGUUAUAUUAUAAUCUUUUAGAUGUGCAUGCAGGGGCGAAACCAGGGAAGACAAGCAGGGCCGAGCUCCUGCAGAAUAUUUUAAUUUUUUUAUUUAGUAUUUAAAUAUAGAAUAAUAUGAUAUUUUUAUUUUAAAUAAAUAAAUUUUUUAAUAAUAUAUCUUGUUAUAUUAAUUUUAACUUUCUCUAUCAAAUGCUACCAGCUCCAACUACUCCGCCCAUGUGUGCAUGGUUAUUCGUUAGACAUUUAUUUGAUAGUGUAUAUUAAAUAUUUCUAUGUUAGUAAACUUGGUAACACAACUAAUUAUGAAUGGAGCAGAAUAAAAAAAACAAGGGAAUUCGUUCGGAAAAUUACACAAAAUUACUCCAUUAAAUUCAACCUCAACAUCAACUGGGGAAUUGUAGAAAAAAUCAAGACAUAUAUAUCUAAAUUUCCUUUUUACCAUAACAAAAGUUCUUAUAACAUGAAGGUGAUCUUUAAUUUAAUUGAUAAGUCUUGUAUGUGUGUGUGUGUGUGUGUGUCUAGAGAGAGAGAGAGAGAGAGAGAGAGAUUUCAUCAUCUUAGCCAAAAUUUUUGGUCUUAGAAUCUAGAACAAUAUAUAUUGUUGGGAUUGGAUCUUGUAAAUCCUAACAAAAUGGUGGGCAAUUUGUAGUGAUUGUCAAGGAAGUUGUGAGAAAAUGGACCUCAAUAUUCUUGCUUUCCGACACUACAGACCCAAGAAAAUGGAGAUCUAUCUGUCUCUAGCUUAGGUUAAUAAUAAUAAUGAUGAUGAUUAUGAUGAGUAGAUCUAUCUGGUAUGGAUUAAAAUUUAAAGUUUUAGGCAAGUUGAUUUCAUCCCAUUAAUUCAUACAUCCUAGAAUCAAUGUCCAAAAAAUCACAAGGGUGUAAUGGGACCCUACAUAUUGUGUCCUUUUCGAGCCGGUGGGAGAAGCCGGGAGGAAAGAGCCUCCAAUGGGAUGGAAAGGGAAGGGGAAGGUUGUAGGGUACCUUGUUAUACGGGGCUCUCUCAAUAUACCCUUACUUGUAAGGUCGGUCUCGCUAAUCACAUGGGAAGAUAAAGACAAAGAAAGAAAGAGAAAUAAUUAAUUAAGGGAGACAAAAACUAGAAAAUCACAAUUUAAUAUAUGAUAGAUAUUCUUUACCAAAGUAAACAAAGACUAAUUGGUAUUUUGAUAUGGACAUAGAGUUGAUAUGUCAAAAGAUCUAAUUAAUAGAGAUGGUGGACUAGCUACUGACAUUUGUAACUAUGCUAUGGUACGUUAGUACUUGAUAAUAAGUUCAUUUUCAUGAAUUAGGGCAUUCACAAUCUUUUCUAUUUGUACUUGGAAACAUUGGACAAGAUGUGUCCCAAUGAGAUGCAUCGCAUCUAUCCUUGUAUAUCUACAUACUGUGGUCAUCGUUCUCCUUGUCUGUGAGCUGCAGUUGGAUGGCUUUUGACCAAUCUGGGUUGGCUGUGUUCUUGGAUAGAUUUUGCAAGUGAAACAGCUAUGAAAUGGGUCAAAACCAAUUUACUAAUCGAGGUCCUUUUAGAUUGAAUUUUAGCAUCUGCAAAUUGUGUCCCGUUUAAUUACUUUUUUUUUUUGGAAGUUUCCCAGUAUUUUAAGAGGCAGUAAAGACAUGACCCGUCUGUGGGAUAGUUAGUUUGGAAAUUAUUAUUUUUUAGACAGAAUAAGAGAUCAAAUUCAUCUUUCAUUUAUUUAAAGAGGGUCAUGGCAAUCUUCUAGACCCAGACCUCCCUCCAGAGGUUCCGGUCAUCUUCGUUUAUGAUUUUUUAAGCUUUUGUGUCGUUCAUUACUAAAAUAAAUAAAUAAAUAAAGAGUUAUCAUUUAUAAUGGCUUAAUUGAUGCUGACAAGCUUCUUUAAUCUCUAAUGUUUUACAACCCUAAAUUAUAAAGAAAGAAAUUAGAACUCUAAAUCUUAUAACCCUUAACUAUAGAAAAAAUAUAUAUUUUAACUAGUAAAAUCCUAAUUAAAUUAAAAAUUAUAAUUUAAAUAAGAAAAAAAUCCAAUUACAAGUAGAAAAACAAAUAAUAUUCUAAAUCUAGCUUGUUAAGCUAGGAUUUUCAUUACACGCUACUUGUCAAUAACACAGUACAAUAUAGCAAUAUAAAAAAAAUGCUUGAUAAAUGUAGAUAGCAGUUUGUGGCAUAGCCGGAGCUGCUUAUCAGUAACCUGUUCACUGAGGGGAAGAAGAGAACAGCGAUGUGAGUGCAUACGACGAAUGCAAGUAGUGCCAUGAAAGACGUAAAUCCUUCCUGUUGCAUUAUUACAUGAGUUGAAUGAUUUGUGGCUACAUUUUGCCCACAGGACAUGUACAUUAUUAUUAUGCAAACGGUAGGGUUAGAGAAUAGACUUGGAAUUAUGCUCUUGAAAAGCUGGGAAAUGGAAGCAAAAGAUGCCAGUUGGAAGCCUCAUCUUGACCCCUUAUUUAUCCAAUUAAAUUGAAGUAUGAUGAUAUUUAUUGGUGGGGACGACUCCGAUUAGCAAUGGACUCUCCUCUUAAUUAGCCCUCCUAAUCCAUGCUUUUUUUAGCAUCAAAGGAAAAUGCCUGUUGUAUUAACUAUAUAGUUAAAAGAAUAGUGAGUUUUAUUGUAGCAUUACUCAUAAAAUACUAUUCAUUAAAUUAAUUUUAUUUUAUUCUUUUUCAAUUGAUGUUUUUUUUUUAGUUUUGUUUUUUAAUAUUAGAUUUUUUAUUGAGUUAUCAUACUUUUAUGAUACGGAUCAUGUGUUUAGUAUGUUAACUCGAUUUGACGGAUUAGCCCUGUUACCUCAAGUUUCUUUUUUUUAAAUAAUUUUUUUUUCAAUUUUAUCUUUUAAUAUUGAGUUGGUUGAGAAUUUGACUUUAUAAUAUUUUUUUGUUUACUUUCUAUUAUGUUAUUCUGGCCUCAUGACUCGAAAAUGGUGCUUAAACAGUUAACCCGAGUAGACUCCGGUUGUUUUUUGUCUUAUUUUUUAUUGAUUUUUUUUCAAUUUCAUUAUUCAACACUAGUCCAAUUGAGAAUUGAGCUUCAUAAUCUGUUUUUACUUGCUUUUUAUGGGGAUAUCUUGGUCUCAUGAUCAAUGUCGUCGGUUUUGGUAUUUUAACCACGGUUGAAUCGAGUUGUUUUUUAUUUUUUUCUAAGAGGUUAUCCCGGUCUCAUGAUCUUGAUCAUGAUUCCUUCAACAUUAGAUUUUUUUAUUGGGUUGUCCUCAUCUCAUGACCCGGGUCACGAGUUUGGUAGGUUAACCCAAUUGACUGUUUUUUUAUUGAUUUUUUUUCCAAUUUCAUCAUUUAAUAUUGUGUUUCAUUGAGAAUUAAGUUUCAUGAUUUGUUUUAUUUGCUUUUUAUUAGGGUAUCUCGGCUUCAUGACCCAAGAAUAAUGCUUAAUGGAUUAACCUGAGUUCGCUUGUCUUAUUUUUUGUGUCAUUUUCUUAGUUAAUAUUUUUGCAAAUUCCAUCAUUCAACAUUAGGUCUAAAGGAGAAAAAAUUAUAUCAUUCAACAUUAGGUCUAACAGGAGCGAAAAAUUUCAUCAUUCAACAUUAGGUCCAACAGGAGCGAAUAAAAAUUGAACUUCAUAAUUUUUUUUGAUUUGCUAUUUAUGGGGUUAUCUCAACCUUAUGAUCAAACCAAAAGUAAUCCAGAUGAUCGAUAAAAAUAUAGUUUGACUCAAAAUAAAUAUUUAAGAUGAGAUUUUGUCAUAAACAUUGAGAUAACAACAUAUUGGAUCGAUUCGGGUCAACCCGGGUUAAUCUGUCAAUCCGCAUGCCAAGUCAUGAGAUGAUGAUAACCCCAUAGAAAGUAAAUCAAAAUAAAAUAUGAAAGUUAAUUUCUAAUAAACUCAAUGUUGAAUGAUUAAAGUAGAAAAAAAGUCAAUUAAGAAAAAUGACAAGAGUCAACCCGAUUUAAUCUUCCAAAACAUGCGACCCAAGUUAUGAGACUGGAAUAACCCAAUAGAAAAAAAUUGAAAAAAAUUAUGAAGCUUGAUUCUCAAUCAACUUAGCGUUGAAAGAUGAAAUUGAAAAAAUAAUAAUUAUAAAGGACAUAAAAAAACAACUCGAGUCAACUAGGAUUAACCCGUCAAAAUAGUGACCCGAGUCAUGAGAUAGGGAUAACCUCAUAAACAACAGACUAAAAUAAAUCACGAAGUCUAAUUCUCUAUCAACCUAAUUUUAAAGGAUGAAAUUGAAAAAAAUAUAUUAAUUAAAAAAAAAACUGAAAUCAAGCGAGUUAACUUGUUAAAGUCGUGGUUCUAGUCAUAACUCUAGAAUAACCUUAUAAAUAAUUAAAUUGAAAAGAAUUAUGAAGUUUGAUGGUUAAUAAAUUUAAUAUUUAAGGAUAAAAUUAUUUAAAAAAAAACAUAGAUUGAAAAAAAAAUAAAAGGAAGGAAAAGAAAAAAAGAAAAUACUAUUAUAAUGAAUAGAGGAGAGGUAGAUAAAUAAACCCUCCGUUUUUUUUUUGUUAAUUAAUUAAUAAAUAUCACGUUGUGGUGAUGUUGAGGGAGAACUUCAACAGAUUUCUUGCAUGAAAAUAAUUUAUUGAUUUCUACCUUUAAGGAUUUCUACCUUUAAGGCUAAUUUGCAAGCAAAAUAAAAAUUGAGAAUCCAACAAUCUAAAUGUGGAUAGCCUGUUUAAUAAUACAAAGUAAUUAAAACAUGGUUAUAAAACUUGGUUCGACUCAUAACUUAGUUUGGAUUAUAGAUUAGAUGGAUAAAUCUAAAUUCGUUUAAAAUAACAUGUUUUAAAUAUUUUUAAAAUAUUAAAAUGUUUCCAUUUAAUUUUUUUAAAAUCAAACUAGGCCUCACUUAUAUUUUUACUAGAUCAACAAGAUUUUAUUAAGUUAAUUACCAUUAGUUCAACAUGAAAUUUAGUUCAAGCCUAUCUUAAGUGAAUGAAUUAUCCAAUUAAUUUAUUAGAUUAAACUAAGUUUAAUAAAAUUGAUCAAGGUUGGAAAAUCUAACCUUUUUUUUAUUAAAAAAAAUCAUUUAAUCAAUUUGGCAAUAGUUUUACCCUUACUUGUACGAAAACAACUUCGAACUCGUUGAAAAAAAAAAGAAUCUAUAACAUUUUAAAUUCUUUUUUGUGAAGCAUCCUUAAUUCUUUGUCAAUUACUAAUAUUAGAUAAUAUUUAGUAUUGUGGUAACAAUUUAUUUUUAAUUUUUUUUAUUUAAAAAUAUAUUAAAAUAAUGAUUUUUUUAAAAAAAUUUAUUUUUAACAUCAUCACACCAAAACAAUCCAAAAAUAUAUAAAAAAUCAUUUGAAAAAAUUUUUUUAUUUACUUUUAAAAACACAAAAACAAAUACUUGCUUAUAUUGAUAAACUAGUACCUGGUAUUUCUGCUAAACAUCUAAUGAAAUGGUUAUCAGAAAGUACUAAAAAAACCAUUAAAUUUAAUAUUUUUUCAAGCCAAAACGCACUCAAACACAAUUUUAACUGUAAUGCCAAACAACCUAACUAGUAUUUAGUAUUGUGGUGCACGAUACUUUUUAUUUAUAAAUAUAUUAAAAUAAUAAAAAAAAAACAACUUAACAUCACCAUAUUAAAACUAUAAAAAACAUUAAAAUUAAUUUAAUAUAUCUAAAAACAACAAAUUCCAUAUUUCCAAACACUAUGAGUUUCCACUGAAACUUGAAAGGCACUAGUCGUUUUCCAGUAGUAAUUAAAGAGUACCGAGAGAAGAAAAACUCUCUCUUUCUCUAUCAAUCUAUUCCCUCUCUACCACAACAAAUGUCGGCAGCCUUCCUUUCACAACCUUCUUAAGUCUUGUCAUGUUAGAUUCCAUUGACAUACACUCCAAUUUUAAAUUAUUGGAUUGAUUAAUCCAAUACUUAUCGCAUUACGAAGACUUGGCAUUUGCAGAGGAGACCCAGAAGGUUGAAGAAAUGCUAUUCAGCAGGCAAUUAUUGUGAUUGAAAUAUUUCAGAUCCAUCAAGAAGAAAUACUGUCCUCAAACUGUAUUGUCCAAUCAUUUUUCUGAAAUUUUACGGUUUUGAAAUGGGAUAUAAUUAAAAUAUUAUAAUUAUAAAUCAUAAUAUUUUUAAAUUGUAUUAUUUAAUUAAAAAAAUUUCAUCAUGUAUUACUUUGUUAUUUUUUUUCAAUUCUAAUUACACAAUUUAUCCAGAAAUAUUCCAUAAAAAUGUUUGACAUUUUAUAUUGAAAAAAAUAAAUGAAGUGAUUUAUUUGAUUUUUAGGGUUUUACGAUUCAAUAACUUCUUUUUAUUUUUUUUAAUCAAUCAAUCUAAUAACUUCUGGAAGCCAGCGACCUAGUCGUUGAACUUUGGCCAAACUUACGUGUUUCUUUGACUUGGAAAAUGUAAAUAAUAGAAUUCUAAAUAAUUGUACGAAAAAACAAGGAAAGGAAAUUAAAAUACUCAGUCGAUGGUUUUGUCAAGCAAUUUAAUAGAUUAAAAGGGAUUAAGAAGGCUUGCAACGUGCAAGACAAAACAAUGGUCGUCCCCUUCGUUGCUUAAUUGCCUGCAAAAGAAGAAGAAAAGAUUCAAAGUGAAUGAAGUGCCAUGCCAAUACAUAUAGGUAUAGACUCUAGCAGGCUCAUAAAUAAAAGAUAUAUAUCUAUGCGUAGGUUUUACUCAUCUUUUUUCUCCCAACAUUUUUUUUUUUUAGUUUAACGUGGGUAUCCGGGCCAGCUUGCGCGUACCUCGACUAAUCCCACGGGCCCUGAAGUUAACGACCAUGUAAGUCUCCAGUGGCCAUCAUAUGAGCAACUACAGGGCUCGAACCUGAGACCACAGAGAGAGCAAAUCUCUUGAUCCCAAACUAUAGGAAUUAGAGAUCAUCAAUUAUACCAUUUAUUUAGUAGGUUCAUUGAACAAGAUAGAAACAUUCGUAUACGAUGGAGAGACUUCAAUUUGCUUAUCCUUUUCGAGAAGAAAAAAUAAUUAUAACCAUCCUCAAUUGUUUAUUAUCAUCCAAUUAGAUAGCAUUACUGAAUCUUGUUUGUCUCACUAGCCUAACUUGUUUUGAUCUGUUGGUCAAUAACCUUCAAACUUACUCGUUUGCUUGUAGAAAGACUAGAGAAUUUUUUACAUACAUUACAUUUCAUAUUGGACCAAGCUAGUUUUAAUUGAGAAGUGCAUCAAGCUCACAAUUUCAUGCCCACAAUUGUAGGAUUUGACUAAAACAUGGAAUUGAAAAUCCUCACUGCCAAAAAUUUGUCAAAUAUAAAAAGAAAUACUAACAUAAUUCUUUUUGUUAAUAGAUUGCGGUAAAUUUUAUCGAUGGACCUCUCCAUCACUAUAUCCCUCGGUAAAUACCGACAAAAACAUUUCGUCGGUAUAUACUGAGAGAAUUGCAAUGAAAAAAGAAUGAAUAAAAAAACCAAAAAAAGUACGAUGAGGUAUAACUUUUACCAACAGCUUUACCAAUGAAACUAACCCGACGGUAAAGUUCAUUCGUAGAUAUACCGACAGAAUUACAGACAGUAUUACAGUAGGAUUCAAAAAGACAAAUCGUACGGUGACAUGGAACGUUUUACCACUAGAAUGACCAAUGAAAUGAUCGAUGAAAUAAUUUCAUCGAAAAAUCCAUCUGUAAUGUUUAAUUUAUGACCUAACGAUCGACCUUCCUCUCUUAUCUACCAUUUUUAUCUUGCUCCUUAUGCAUUUUUUUUUUGCAACAAACAACAGAUACAACCACCUCCAUUAAUCUUAACGCAACUCAACCUCCCACAACAAAUCCAGUUGCCACAACAUUUGAUUUGUAAACAUUCAUGUUCUUAUUCAAAUUUUAUUGAGGAUUCUCCACCUUAAGUAAGCAAAUCUAUCUUUUUAUUUAUUUAAACAUAAUUUUAAAAUGUUAAUUUUUUUUUUGCAUAUUUUUGUAGUAUAUGUAUUUUAUUUGGGUGUUUACUUAUUUUAUAGUUUUUUCUCAUACAAAUUUGUUGUAUAGAUUUAUGAUUUAUACAUAUUAGGGUUAGAUUGAUAAAGCUGAUGUCGAAUUUUUUACUUAAGUGUUUUGUGAUGAAAUAAAUAAUGGCUUAUUUAAUGGGUCCAUUUUAUUUCCUUGUCAAUUUUAUUGCCAAGUUGAAAUUUUCGAUAAAUGUGUAAAAAUUUAAAUUUAUAUAGAUAAUUGAUAAUGAAUUAAGAGUACUAUUAAAAUAGAUUGAAUAAGUUUGAGCUAAACCAAUAUUUUUGUAAAUUUAUUUAGUUAACGUAGUUAAUUAAUACAUGGUGUCAUCAUUAGUUAAAUAGGUUUGAUAUAAGUAAUGAAUGAUCUUUCAUGGAUAUAUCGAGAUUCACCCCAAGGGUUGCGAAGAUUGGAUUAUUGUAAUGAGGUUCAGGGUUUUAUUAGUUACACAUUAUCUAAUUUGAGAAAUAUUAAUGGAGGCGAUAUUAGAUAUUAAUGAAAAACGUGUAAGAAUAACAAAUUUCUAGAUCCAGAUGUUGUAACGAUGCAUCUUCUAUAUAAAAAAAAAGAGUUCAUGGAGAAAUACAUGUGUUAGUAUGCACAUAGAAAAAUCAUAUGUUUCUCACGAUACUAUGGUAGAAAGGAUGGUUGGGUCAACUUCUAGUGCUAACAACAUGCAUGAAGUUGUAGAUGACAAUAGUAUUCCUUAUAGGAAUAUGGUUAUGGAUGUGAUUGGAAUGAAUCGGGAUUAUUUCGGUCAAUAUUCAAUCAUAGAUGAAGAACCUAAUGAAAAAAUGACCAGGUUUUUUGAUCUUUUGAAAGUUUCGGACAAACCAUUAUAGGAUGGUUGUGUAAAUUACAGUAAAUUAUCGGUCGUUGCACAGGUGUUCACCAUCAAGUCAGAUCAUGGAUUAAGUGAGGUCGGUUAUAACUGAAUUGUAGAAUGGGUGAGAAGCAUUUUACUUGAAGGAAAUAAGCUGAAAGAGAACUUUCAUGCUGCUAAGUCUAUGAUGAAACCUUUUGUUUUAGGAUACCAAAAAAUUGACAUGUGUCUAAAUUUCUACAUGUUGUACUACAUUGAAAAUACAGAGUUGAUAGAGUGCGAAAUAUGUGAGCAUUCUCAUUAUAAACCCAUAACUGGCAAGGGAAGAACUCUUGUCGCACAUAGAAAACUUAUAUACUUUUCAAUCGCAUCUAAACUGUUAAGCAUAUGACAUGACACCAAUCACAUGAUGCGGUAGAUGAAGUGAUGAUGCACUCUUCCAUUGGUGAAGCCUAGAAACACUUUAACAAUAUGCAUCCUCAGUUUUUAGUGGAAUCAAGGAACGUGUUUCUUGUGUUAUGUACAGACGAAUUUAAUUCAUUUAGGUCAUUUUCUGCUCCUUAUUUUUAUUGAUCGGUGAUACUUAUGGUUUACAAUAUGCCAUCGGGGAUGUGUAUGAUGCCAGAGUUCAUGUUUAUCUAUGGUCAUACCCGGUCCUAAUAGUUUGGGUUGAAAUAUAUAUGUUUAUCUUUGACCGUUGAUUGAUGAGUUGAACUAGUUCUGGGAAUCUAGGGCUUUGACUUAUAAUGUAUCGAAGAAACAAAUUUUUUUGAUGAAGGCAGUUUUUAUGUGGAUUAUCAAUGAUUUUCCCUGCUUAUAGAGUGGUUUCUGGUUGGAGCACACAUGAAAAAUUAGCAUGUCUAUACUGUAUGGAAAAUACCAAGGCAUUCACACUAACAAACUAUGGUAAAAUGUCUUUUUUUACUACCACAUAUACUUUUUGCUAACGAAUCACAAGUACAGAAAGAACAAGAAGCAUAGUUAUCAGACCCGGCCUGGCCCGGUUGGUCAACCCGGGACCUGGGUGCUCCGGGACCAUGGCCGAGUAUGUUUCAUUAAAACUUCGAGCCUGUAAUUGGCCCGGGGAAAAUCAUUCAACCCGCCGGGUCAACCCGAAACCUGAGAGACUUGGUAAAACCUGGUAGAGACCCUAUCUUUUUGAAAUAUAUUUUUUCUCCUAGCCAGAAAUCCUUCUUUUUCAUAUUUUUCAGUUAGUUACUAAUCCAUUUCAAAGUUCAUUAUAUAAAUACUAGAAGAAUGUUUUAUUUUUUCAAUGUGGGUUUUGAAGCCCUUUAGUAGAUAUACUAUUUGUUCAAAAGAAAAAAGUUAUGUUUUUUCAAUGUGAGAUUUGAAGCCCUUUAGUAUAUAUACUAUUUGUUCAAAAGAAAAAAGUUAUGUUUUUUUAAUGUGGGAUUUGAAGCCCUUUAGUAUAUAUACUCUAUGUUAACAAGAAAAAAGUUAUGUUUUUUCAAUAUGGGAUAAAAAAAAUAUUUUUGGUUUAAAUGCUUCAACUUAAAAGAAUUAGAUAGUACCUUUUUAAUGUGGGAUAAAAAACCUUUUGAAAUAAUCUUUUAAACUUCAUUAUUUACAACAUGUAUAGUCUAUAUUCAUAUGGAUUAUUUCUUAAUUUUUUCAUAUGAAAUAUUAAAACCUCAAACAUUUUUUUUAUUUUUCCGGGUUGACUCGGGUCAACCGUGUAACCCAGGACCUGGCUUUUUGGCCUGGUCAACCCCCGGGUCGGGUUUGCUAACUAUGAUAAGAAGGAUUUUUUUAUUGGCAAAGUUGAAAGGGAUGCUGCAUCGCCACUUCUUUUAGAUGAGGAAUUGCAUGAUGUGGUGUCGAAGUAAGGUGACAUUGUGUUUGGUUUUCAAUCGGGUAAGCAGAAGUUUCCUGAUUUUGGUUUGACGCACAAUUAGGUUAAGCAAAGUAUUUUUUUGAGAGCUUUCUUAUUGAAAUAACAAUCUCCUCUACCAUAACCUUGAUGUCAUACACAGAAAAAAAACGUGUUUGAGAAUAUUUUCAACACUAUUAUAAAAGUGAAAGGGAAUACAAAAAUACAACAUCAAGGCUAGAAUGAAUAUAACUUUGUUUUGAAAACGUAAAAAUAUAGAGUUAGUUUAUGUUGGGUCACACAGGUCACAAAGUUUAGAGUCAACUUCGCCUUAGAUAAAAAUGUAUAAUUAAUUGUCUACCCAUGGCUUAAAAAUCUGUGUUUUUCUUAUAGAUAUGCCUCGAACAUAUCAAGCUUGUUGAAUUUAGAGGUUGACAGAUUGUAUAUAAUGAAUAGCCAUGAUUGCCACAUGUUUAUGCAGACACUCAUUCCAUUAGCUUACCGGGAUUUAUUGUCAAAGGGGAUAUAGGAUACACUCAUAAAGAUCAGUCAUUUUUUAAAAGAUAUAUGCUCCAAUAAGUUAUAGACACAACACAUGGAGAUGUUUGAAAUAAAUAUCGUCCAAACAAUAUGCAAACUUGAGAUGAUAUUCCUUUCAUCAUCUUUCAACUCAUUUAAACAUUUACCUAUACAUUUACCAUUUAAGGCAAAAGUUCGAGGCCCAAUCCAAUAUAGAUGGAUGUAUCCAUUCGAGAGGUUAGGGAUUAUACAUGUAUUAUAAUUAAUUUUUUUUUAUCUUUCUUUGUAUACUUCAAAACACUCAUUUAAUUCAAUGCAGGUAUUUGUUCAACCUUAAGAAAAAAGUAAAAAAAACAAAGCGCUUAAUGAGGCCUUGAAAUGUGAGGCCUCAAUAUUUAUCUCGUACUAUUUCAAGCAUCAAUUAAGAACAAAAAUCAACUGUGUUCCAAGGCAUGACGAUGGUGGUGAAGUGUCUUCAAGUAAAUGAAUGUUUUCAAGUAGAAACUUGUCAAUAUUCUUUCAUCCUAGAUAACCCGUACCAAAAAAUAUUGUAAGGGGAAGAUAUUUUCUAAAAUAGAAUUCACACAAGCAUAUAAUUAUGUGCUAUUUAAUUGCGAUGAAUUGAGACAUUUUAUUCAUUAAGUAUACUACUUAACAUGUCAUUAUUUUCGAACAAUUUAUCUCUAAUAAUAUCAUAAAUUGAUACCUUGUUAAAUAGCUUGUAAGACACAUCAUUUAUAUUUACUAUCCUAAGAUUCACAGUUGAAUGAAUCUCAAAUCUUUCGAUUACAAGAAGAAAUUUUUUUCACAUAGUUUAGAACACAUGUAAGUACUGUUUAAUUAUUCUUAUAUCUUGGGAUACUUAAUUUCAUUAUAUAUUUCUCGUUAACUGUUUGUUGUUAUACUUAAUAUAUAUGGUUUAUCAAUUGGGAGGGAAUGUUAGUGUUACUUUAUCCUUACUAAGUCUGAGUCCUGAAAGAAAGGUGAAGCGCUACAACGUGUAUUUUGUUAAUAUACAUGUGUUUCAUACUGAAGAAUAUGAGAAUGAUAUAAAAACAUAACAGUGAGGUUUGUGUUAAAGGGUCGACUUUUAAUGAGUUUGAAGUUGACUACUAUGAGAAGUUAGAAGAGGUCAUUGAAUUGCAAUAUCAUAGCGAGCAUAAUAGAGUAUUUUUAUUCAAAUGUUAUUAGUAUGACACCACUAACAGAGGAAUCAUAGUAAAUUAAUUUAAAGGCUAGACACUGCAAUAUCUACGAUAUCUUUGUUUUUGCCAAACAAUUCUAACAAGUUUAUUACACAUAUACCCUUUAAUUUAGAAAAAAUCAUUCAAGAGUUGAUUGGUUAUCUGUAGUGAAAACCAAACUCAAGGGUCGUGUCAAGGUUGUUCAGGAUGGGAAUAAUGAAUUAAUUGUGGAAGAUAAUGUCUUUCAACUUGGUGACUUAGUUGAUCUAUAUUGCGUUGCAUUGUCUAAUGUCUUAAGAAGAAAAUUAAAAUUUUCAUGUCGCCGAUAAUAUUUUUGUUGAUGUUGAUGUUGACGUUGAGGAGUUGAAUGAUGUUUUGAGGUCCAGUGAACACACACAAGUCAAUCAAGAUGAUGAUAGUGACAAAAUUAACGUAAAAAAUUAAGAUGAAGAUAAGGACAAGUCAAUUGACAAAGCAAAAGAUAAUUCUGAUUAAUUUGCACAAUAUAAUGAACUUUGCACAACAUGACUUUGUAAUGCCACGUCCGUCGGUAUAUUCCAGAGUGUUGGAAAGGAAUUGUUGCAAAUAUCACUAGUACUGUUAAAUCUCUGAUGGAAUUAUAGAUGAUAAUGUUAUAUUUACCGACGAACAUAUAAAAACACCGAUGAAAUUGCAUGUGGUAUUUAUGUCGUUUAUAUGGCAAACUUCCUGAGGAAAAUACAUAUGGAAUGAAAUGUAUCAAUUUUUUUGGAGCGCUUUGUCCGUCUUUAAAUCCAUCAGUUAAUUUAUUACCGACGAACUCACCGACAGACCAGAAAUUACCAACAAGAGUUUUCCAACGGACUGGUUCCAUCCGUGAGCCUAUAGAUAAAAUACUUAUCAACAGAUUGUGAGUUUAAAUACCGAUAGAAAAUUCCGUCGAUAAAACUGUUAAAUCUGGUGAUGCUUCAUCGUUUUACAUGUAUACAUGUUGAUGCUCAAUAUUGUUAUAUGUAUAGUUUCAUGUCACCAUGUACAUUUGAUAUAGUUGGAUUGCUGCAAAAGCAAGGAAUUGUGAAAAAGAGAAGAGAAAGGUUUACCAGAUAGCCAAAAUGGUAUUUGAUGAAUGGGUUUGCCCACUGCUUAUGAUGGAUUGGACUAUUCUUGAUGUGUCCUUACCUGUAAAACAAAGUUCUUUGUGUGUUCCGAUGAUUAAAUUAGUUUAGUGAUGGAGCUUAAUGGUGUAGAAAACUUUUAUUUAUCGGAUUCCUUUGACCUGUAUCGUUGAGUAUAAAAAUACCUCCCCUCACUUACCUGCGAAGACAAAGGGUAUAGCUUGUCAUCAGAGGGUGGCACUGUGAGUGUAGCUCUCCUUCGUAAUUGUAACUGUCGGUUUUAGCUUUUUAUACAAGCAAUUCAUCAAGGCAAGAAAUCUCACGCCUUUUGGCAGUAAAAAACAAUGUUCUGAUUGUUCGCCGUAUCGAUCAAUAAUCAGAGGCAUUAUAAAAAACACUCGAAGGAGAGCCACAGGAAAUCCAAGUGGGCAUAGCCAUCUAUUUUAUAGCCUUGUGAUGUUUACUUGCACGUAGCCGCCUUUGCAUCUUUUUCACAGAACUGUUUGUUUUUGGCUGUGUGCAUGCGCCUGGCUUUGCCAAAUUGUAAAUAAAUCCUCACUCUUCUAUUAACUAUCUAUUAUGAUUGAGGGAAACUGAGUAUGAUUGAUGCAUCGUAUGAUGUGACAGAAAAUUUCAUUUUCUUUCUUGUGUCAUAAUAGUUUCCAGCCUUCAAUAGGAAUGGCAUCACCUGUUGUCUCUCACAUGGUGGCCCAAAGCCUGAAAGAAAGUGAGAGUUACAUGAAAUUGCAAUGAGCUCAUUACAUGCAUAUCUUUCCUUCUUCAUUUCAAAUGGCAAAGAUAGUCAUGAACUUGAGAGAUGAGAGGCAUGGGGUUUCCUGAAUGAUGCCAUUGUCCCAUAGGCCCUUUCUUUUAGUUUCACGCUGGAAGAGAAAAUUUAGGUGCAGCCCAAAUCAUUUUAAAAAAAAAACUUUAAAAAACAAAAUAAAAUGGAAGUGCUAGCUAUCAUCUAGCUAUCAUCAUUCUACCCCACAAACAUUACUUGUACUCAAAGCUAGGAUUUCCUGGCGGACCUGACCUCUCCCCUUGGUUUCACAAAAGUUGCACCAACAACCACAUUCUGAAUUUAAUAUCGACCAUGUGAACAUUCAAAAUGCAAGAUUAAUAUGCUGAUGAAGAGAAUUUAUUGUGUAACUGCCAAGAAUCAAAAUCACAGAACCCAGUUUGUGGAUUUAAUUUUUUUAAAAAAAAUUAGAUAACUCUGUUCCCAAUUGGGUCCUCAGAGUAUCCAGAAAUUCACAAUUGAGUACACAAAUCCCAAUUGGGAACUCGAUCAAAAAUCUUUAUAUAAAGAGAAAGAACUUGAUUUUAGUUGACGUGCAAGAAGGCCUGAGUGGCCAGGUAAAAAAAAUUAUGGCAGAGGAAAGAGGACAAAUUCAUCUCAAUUACUGCUGAAAUGGUUACACAUGAAAAACAAUGAUAAUUUAAAAGAAGAAAAUUGACAGCUACACUUGAGAGAAGGGACAAAUCAUCUCAAGUGCCGGAAUGGAAAGUUUACACAUGAUUAAAAAACUAUGAAAAGAGAUAAUUGACAACAGUACCUUACCACGAGCGACAAACAAAUCCUCUUUUUACUACAUGCUGGAACCUCGUUUUUUAGACUUUUUGCUUGUCCAUAAAUUUGUGUACAGUACAGCGGCAAAUCUUUACGGCUGCAAAGGUCACUGAAUCAACCGAUGAAUUUGAUGGUUUCAUGACUUUCAUUUUUUCCAUAGAGAACAAGAGAGUGAUGGGCAUAAAGGGUUUCCAACACCUUGUGUCUCUUUUAGCACCAUGUGCCAGGCAUGUGAGAUGUUGGAUUUUCCCAUUGAUUUCAACCGGGAAAUUAGGGGGUCCAUGGUCCAUGAUUAAGACACAUGAUAGUAUUCAAGAUUUUGCUUUUGAAAUACAUUUUGAACGUACUGUGUGAUACUGUGAUUUGGUGAUCUCAGUGGAGAAUAUAACCCCUUGUGUCCAUGCAUGUCACUUCUUUCUCUUCGAAGCUUUCCAAGAUGUAGCCAAGUUUUUCCGCUCUAAGGCCCAACUAGGUACGGAUGGUGGUCCUAUCUAGUUGAAGAAAAGAACGAGAGAUUCAAGAAGAGAAGAAUGCAGCCAUUUCAAGAAUUCAGCUUAUGAACUGAGACUGAUAAGAAAAAGUGGAAAGAUUGGGACUAAACUCCUUUUGAGGUAAUAAUUCUUCAUGAUAAACAAAUGAUGGUGCAAAAAAAUUUAGCAUGAUGUGAUCAUUUGUACAGUUGUGUACGUACAGUUAUGUUGAUUCAACUUUCUCACUUGUAUGGUCAGUGGGGCAUCCUUUGCGUCUGGGAGGCUCUUUAACACCUGUUUAACAACAAGAAAUUGAUGUCAGUAACCUCACCAACAGCAGUGGUAAACGUGAUAGCAGGGAAAUAAUAUGAUGUAUGUGAAAGAAGAUUCAUGGAUAUUUACUUGGUAUAGUUUCCAAGAAACCAUGGCAUCAGUGGCAGCAUAUUGUAGGUUGUUCUUUUGAUAAAACAUCUGCUUCCCAGUUUCCAAGUCUGAUUCUGUUGGGCUUUCUAAGCUGUGAAGUUUCUUUUGAUAAAACAUCUGCUUCCCAGUUUCCAAGUCUGAUUCUGUUGGGCUUUCGAAGCUGUGAAGUUUCGGUAACUUAGAAAAACUACAUACCAAGAGAGGGAAAAUAGAAGACCAGAAGAGGUUGAAACAAAAAUGAGAAAACAAGAGGAGUGGUAGAGCAAGGAUAACUCCAUUGCUUUUGUAUAUCAAAGUAGAAAUAUAUUGAUCAAAGAAGAAGGUGCACGUAACAUUCAGAGAUCUAGAGAUUCUUUGAAACAACAACGAAGAAGAGAACUCCAAACUAAGGAAUACUCCAUUCUCUCUGAAUACCAGUCACUGAAACACUUCUGAAAGCCUGAAAGCAUCAUACUACAAGGAUGCAAGAAACACCAUGCCAUCCACUAACAACUUCUCAAUGAGAGAAUUAAAACUUGAAAGUUGUAGCAUUCUCCUCCAUCCAAACACACAUAUGGCCACACAAUCAGCACAGAACAAUAAAAUUCUGGUAAUUUUUCCUCCAAAUCCACUAUAGCAUAUUGGCAGCAAAUCCCGCAACCUACCAGGAACCACCUAAGACUCACAUCUGCUAGCUUGAGUCCUCUUUGUGCAAUGCUUCAGCAUAUCCAAGAUUUCCAUUUUCACAACCCUACUCCACAAAUACCAUCCAACUUGUCAAUGGAGAAACAAUUGGCUCACGGCCUCCACAGUUUUGGUAACUCAUAGAUCUGAUGUUAGGAGACAGAGCCUGAUGAUGACAACUCCAUUGUUCAUUACUAACCUUCGUAAUGAUGCAGAUAUGACAUGUGCUCGAUGUCCAAACUAAUAUAAGCACAUAAUUCUAAAACAAUUUGCAUCGAAAUGCACUAUAGAAGAACUUAAGAGCAGGACCAAAAUCUCACAGAAGUGAAUUCCCUUUUCUGGCCUUUUAAGAAUCUGAGGAACAAUCACUGUUGAAUUCAAAAAUUUAACCGUGAAUAGGAUCCGGCCAAUGCAAAUUGCCUUAACCUAUUAGCAUAAAUAUGUAUUCUAGACAGGGCACAAAAUCCUGUAGUUGUUAAACCUUCAGUGAUGCCUUGCAUGGAGUCUGCAUAAGAAAUACAAUCAAAGCGUUUCCUUUCUAUUUCAUUUUUUCUUCAUUAUGGCAAAGGCAACAAAAAGUUCUCCUAGAAAUGCAUAGGAUAUGUAUAUUCUGACCGGUCAAGGCAAGUUUGGAUUUAUUUCAAAAACAGGCUGGUCCAACAUUACCAUAGAACAAUGUGGGCACCAAUUUAUAUUCCCACUAUUUUUUUGAUACUGUUGACGGUCCAGUGACUUGAUAAAAUUGCAAAACAAACAUAAACAAUCAGGAAUAAGCUUUCGAAAAUGCAACUCAGAGAACCAAAUAGAUGUCCUUUACUCAGAAGGCAUCUCAGCAUGAUGUGAUAGAUACCUCUUUGCAAACAAGAAUCUUUGCUAGAGCGAAGACCCCAAGUUUUAGGUUCUCUACCAAGCUUUUGAUUUGCAUGAUAGGAAAGGUCCUCCACUGAUUUAACUGAGACAUUAUAAUCUCUAAGAACCUCAGCACAGUCACUGCUUAUGCCAACACCAACCUGCACACAUGCCACACAUUCAGAAUAGAAAAUUAAAUCUGUAAUUAAAAAAAAAUAUAUAUAUCAAAUGUACAUAAAUGAAAUACAGAAACUAGUGCAAGAGAUCUCACUAACUUUUACAAGUGUAGAAUCCUCUAGAAGAAACUGCAUACUUGUGAUUCCAGAAUGAAAAAUAUGCAUCGCAUGACAAAGGCUGGUGUUCCCACAUAUCUGCAUAACUGCAGUUUUUCCAGGCAACACACCUGCAGAGAUCGAGGUUACUGUUCAAAGUGAUGAUCCAUCAAGAAAAAUCUAUUUCCUAAAGGGAAAGGCAGCACAGGAAGGAAAAUGCUUGCAGAGAACAAGAUUUGAUUCAUUUUUCAAUGUAAACACAGUAGGAAUACAUUUUUGGUCACCUCACCCCCUACUCAAUUUUUCAACAUUAGUUUAACAUGCCACUCGGCAGAAUUGAGAAGUUCCACAAUUCAAAUAACUCAGUGUUAGUGAUAAGUCAGGGUCAUUUGUAUUAGAAACAUAAUUGAAAAUUCUGCUAGAACAUUUGACAGUCCGCAAAGCACUGCAACAAAAUGCCAUGGAACCCUGCCUUCUCCUCCAGGAGCACUGGGAAGGCAAGGAAGACAAAACUAACAUUUUAAGUAAUGCACUCUGGUUUUAAGGAAAUGGGUACAUAAUCUAAGGUUGAAGUGAAUGAGCAACUGUCAACUGCAUUUAUUUGAUGACAUGCUGCAGGAUAACAGUUGCCUGGUUGGUUAUAAAUUUCAUGGUUCUAAUGCACAGUGAAGGUGUCUAUACCAAGCUACAAUCCAUAAAUGAAACAUGAGCAUCAUCAAAGAACAAGAUUGUAGUAUAUGAGUAGGAGAUAAAUUUCCUCCAUGCCAUAGAGGAAGUGGCAAAUGGAAUAGUAAACCUAAGCACUCUACAACUAGAGAAUGCAUAGGAGAAGAAAACAUGGCAUAUAAUAAUCAAUAAGCCUAAUCAGUAUGUAAAUCAAGUUCACUUUCCAAAAGUUUUCCUCUGACUCCAAGAAAGCUUUAGGAUAAAACAUUAAACAACAAGCAUAAGCUCCAUAUUUGAUGAAUCAUAAUUGCAUAAGCAUCAUUAUUAUUGAGAGAGAAUAAGAUCAAUGACAAGGAUUUUUGAACGAAAAGGAACAAAAAACAUGCAUAGGAAGGUCCUAUUUAUCUUAUAAUUCUAAUAAUAAAAGUGAAAUAGCUUCCAUAGAAUAAUAGAAGGUCCAAUUUAUCUUAUAAUUCCCUCCAUCCAAAACAUUGAUGAAAACAACUAACAAACAAACCUUUGUAAAUGUGGUUUUCCACUCAAUAUCAAAACCAACAAUAACUUGACCCAUUUAACCCUUUUUAACUUUAAGACUCUGUAAAAGCUCCCUUGCAGCCUUUUCUACCUCCAUAGAAGUUCUGCUAUACAAAAUUUGACCCCUGAACUUCAAUGCAGAAUAUCUCAUCUUCACACUACCUGCUACACAAAGUACAAUAAAUACAUUAAAAUCCCACAAAUAAUCAACUUGAAUAACAAAAUGUAUGUGUUAAAGCUAUGUAACUUAAUUAAAAGUUCAAAGCUUUGUACAAAAUUAAGGACCUCGGUGACAAUUCAUAAGCAAUGCACAUAGAAAAAUGAAUAGGGAACCUGCAAGCGUGACUUUUUGGGGGGCUAUGAACAGUGAUGAUAUGUAAGCAGAAAUUUAGUAAAAAUUAUAUGAACAGAACCGACAUCGAAAUUGUUCCAAUCACACAAUUAUCGACUGCUAAAAAUAAAGUAACGCAGCAUUUCUAAAUUCUAAAUUUCAUUUCUUUCUUCUUAAAUCUUAACUACCAAACGAACCUUACAACAAUGAGCUGCAAAAGUACUAACAGUACUAACAAAACGAACCCAAAUUUAUAACUUAUUCCAAAAAAAGCAUAUUGCUGUUAACAUUUGAAAGGAUAAAUCAAAACCCAGAAUUUUCUAAAGGGAUAUACAAAUGGUUUAGAAAGAUAUAAAAUUCAAGUACAAGUAAAAUUAAAAAAAAAUAAAAAAGUUAUUUUACCUUGACAGGGAGAGAGAGAGAAAAGAGAACUGGGAAAUUGGUGUCGAUUUCUUGGAAGUUAUUGAUCCUUUUGUGGACUUGAAUGUCGUUUCUUGAUUAUAGUUGCUGUUGAUGAUGAUGGCAACGACGACGGUGUUCAAAGUCUCUCAUGGAAAUGAAGAAUUCCAGGGAGAAGAGGAAUUAGGGUUCAAUUGAUUCAAAAGAAAUCACUCUCCCACCUGAUGUUGAAAAAACGCACCGUGUUAUUAAUUUGUAUCAAACGCAGCGUUUAGUCUUGUUCUUGUUAGUUAUGUUGUCACGUGUUGGCUUAGAAUAGAAGAAUAAUUAGUAGUGUUCCAUAAGGACUGUGGACAAUCUUGACGUUUAGUACAGCGGUUUAAUUGUGUUUUUUAAAAUUUUGAGUUUUUUUAGUUUUAAGUUAUUUUUUAUGGUUUUUUUUUAUAGUUUUAGUGUGUUAAUAUUAAAAAUAAAUUUUAAAAAAUAAAAAAAUAUUAUUGUGAUGCAUUUACAAGUAAAAAACACUUUUAAAAACAACUUUUAUCACACUUUCAAACAAACCUGUAAUAGAAUUGAGAGGGGAGAGGAACAUCACGAAAAUAAUGAAUUAACUAAUCCUUUCCCCCUCCCCCCCCUCCGUCUCUCCUUCUCUUUCUUUUUGUUCUUUAUGGGUAUAUUGCCUAUUAUCUUCUAGAUUUGGAAAAUUGCCAAAACUUUUUCCCUUAAAUCCUCUAUAUAAUCUCCAGAUAGGCACUUAUAGAAUCCAGCUUACACCAAGUAGUAUCAGAGCCCUAGGUCUUUGGAUUCGAGAAAUGGCUCUUAAUAUUUGAUCCUAGGACAAAAAAAGAUUAGAGGAUUUUCUUGAAUUUGUCACUAAAAAACAAGCAUUUAAGCAUGAGCGAUGAUGAAGAUGCUAGAAUCAUACAAUCAAAAACUAGAAGUUAUAAAGUCUAUCCACGAUGCCAAGUUUAGAGAGUUGAAAAAACCCAUCAAUGGUUUAUCAUAUCAACAAACAUCAAUCCUAUAGGCUUUACAACAAACAAUGGGAGAAUCUAGUGUUACUAGGAAAAGGUUAACCCACAUCAUGGUGACUUUGCUACUAAAACUUUUAGAACCGGUGAUGAAGGUUGUCAACACUACAAAACACAUAAACUAAAUGAGAUUUCCCUUGUUUUAAUGGUGAUAAUAUGCAUAAAACUUUGACAUGGAAGAGAUUGAUGAUUCUGAGAAACUUAAACUAACUUCAUACUAUCUAGAUGGCAUGGCCCUAUGUUGGCAUCAAAAGUAUAUGAGAAGCUUGGAAGGUCAGGAGGUGACAUGUGGAGAAUAUAUGGAAGCUUUAUGUAUCAGGUUUGGGGGUCAAAAUGACCUAUUAGAAGAACUUAUAGAUCUAAGAUAAGUUAGGAGUUUAUAAGCAUAUAUACAAGAUUUUUUAUGUCCUAUGAAAUAGGGCAUAAAUUAAUGAAAAGCAAGUCAUGGUAAUCUUCAUAAGAGGAUUGUAGAUGGAGAUCAGAAACCUGGUCAACAUGUUUGAACUUAAAGCUUUUAAACAAGCCUAUAACCUAACUCGUUUACAAGACAAUACCUUAUCCCAUAAACAUUUCCACAACCAUUUUAAAUAUUCAUCUCAACUAUCAUACAAACUACCCAAACCAAAUUUAAUCAUUCCCGGUCUCAUCCCAUAUGAUCAAUAUCGUUAGAUGAUCUUAUUAUAUGGGUUUUGUUUGUGAAUGUAUUUAUGAUUAUGGGUGUUGGUAUUGGUGUCGUUAUUUGCACAAAUGCUGGAUUAUAUUAGGGAUCCCGAGCUUGUUCUCCUAUUACUUCUUCAGGCUAAGUUGUUGUUUGACUUUGAACUAAAGUGGUGGGUCUAUUGGAAGGACCCUUACCAAAGGCAUUACGUAGUGCUUACUCGAUAAAUUGGUGAGGAGAGCCACACUAAAUUUUAAAAAUCCAACUCUUUUUGAUAGUGUGAGCAUCACAGUGAGUACGCUCUUCAUUUUUCAUGUUUCUUAGUCGGAGUUGGGUGUUGUAGAUUUUGCGGAUUGGAGCUUUUUGGGAAUCUAUAUUUCAACCUGAUGCAUGUAUGUAUGUCAUUCAAACUGAAUGUAAAUGUAAACAAAUGCAUGUAUAUGCACAUUAGGUAUGGGUUAACCUAUUCAAAUGGCUAAUUUAUGACUUCUUUGUUGAAUAUGGGCAAAAAUCCAUAGUCUGAUUAAUCUAAAAGAUCUUUCCCAAGUCUUUAUCUUAGUUAAUCCUAUACACAUAGAAUUUAUUCACUGUAAUCUCCCAACCUUGGUCUUUGGGCAAUUACAUCAUCUUAGAUUCUUACCCAUAUUUAGAAAGAAAAAAAAUCAUGGUUUUAGCUCAGAAAAUCCUGUAGAGUUCAGGAUUAUUGAUUAGGUCUGUCUUGAUGCAAAAUAAAUUAUUAGGGGGUCCAUACCCUAAAGUAAGGUUCUAGGCCAUUACAUGGAGGGUAAGCUUUCUACCUGGUCUCAAAAGGUCCAUGAACUGCCCAGUGACCACCUUACGUGAAGGAAGUAUAAGGGUUUACAAGGAAUGGUUGAGGCACGGUGUGACCGCCAUUACCAAGUAAACACUCAAUUCAUAGUUGGAUGUUUCACGAAUCUGAACCUCAACUGAAAGUUAUGAGGCAAACCAUUACUCCCUAUCUAACCUAAAAAAAGUUUAUUUACAAAAAUUAAAAUGCAUGAAAGCAUUAAUCCAUACCUGAUGUACUUAUGCAUGAAGUAGUAUAAAAAUGCAUGUUAAAUGUGCUAAAAUUAAACAGACUAAAACAAAUAGGCAAACAAUCAAACUUUAGUCUAACCAAACAAGGCAUUCCCCAGUGGAGUCGCCAUCCUGUCAUGGGGCAGGUAUGUCUCUUAAGAUGUGUGUGUUGAGUAGGGGGUUUAGGUAUAAUAAAAAAGUUAUGAUUAUAAGGUUCAUGAGUCACCAACUGGUAUCAUGGUUAUUAGGAAACCUAUGAUCUGCGAGAGUCUGGGUAAGAGACUGGUUGUGCAAAAAGAAAAUGUAUCACCCUCGGUGCAUCCUACCUAAGGUAAGCUGCAUUGUUGUUUGAUUGUUUUUUUAAGUCAUGUUUCUGUCCAUUGAUCUUUUCUAAGGUUCAAGAUAGAUCUCCCUUCGUGAGGAAGUCUCUACCUUAUCAGGUUAAAUUUUAAUCAUUCUAUGGUCUAAAUUUUAGCACCACAUUUAUUUCACACUUUGUAUCUUUAAUACUUAAGUGUAUACUUUACAAUGUAAUUUUAUACCCUCAAAUAUUAAAGUCUACAGCUAAAUCAUAACACUUUAAAUAUAAAGUGAACAAAAUAAUUAGUGAAGGAUUUUUGAUAUUUUGACCAAACCCAAACAGAUAAUUAUAAAAUGAUUAUAAUAUCCAUUUUACAUUUUAAAACAUGAGAAAUAUGCCAUUUUUUUAAUGAAAAUAUGCUUGGAAAAUUUUUAGGAUUUGACCAUAUGCACGAAAACAAAAUAUUUUUUGUUUUUUUAAGAGGAAAUUAAUUAAUUUUUUUUAAUUUUCAAUUUUUUUAAGAAAAGUUUUUAAGAAAACUGAGUAUUUAAUACUGGAUCUAUAUCUUACAGUGUAAAUAUACAGCCUGGUAUUAUGCAAAAUUAUUGGAAAAACAUGCAAGAAAAUGACAAAUAUUAUGAAAGGACUCUUGGAUUUUUUUGGAUUUUUUUUUGUUUUUUUAUAUUAUAUUAUUAUUAUUAUAUAGGUUGGGCUCGACCCGACCAUUUGGGCCGAACCCAGUCAGGUCGGGUUAGGUCGACUGGUGGCCCAACAAACCUGGCUUCUCUCUUUUUUUGGUCUAGGUCGUGCUAGCCCAGCCAUGUGGGCAUGGGCUUCGAUCCUAGACCUAGUUUAGUUGGGCCGGUUGAGGCUCGAUAACACUCGUUUUUCUUUAUUAUGUUGGGUUGAAACAGGUCCAACCCAUCAUUACAUGCAAAUUUUGCAUGCAGUGGCUGAGGGGUAUGGAGAAGAAGAAGAAAAAAGACAGGGGGAAGGUUUACCUGGGCAAAAAAGUUGUUGGUGACGUUCCUAGUGGAGUUGGGUUAUCCGAUGUGUGAUCGAUAGAGGUAACAAUGACGAAGGCACGACGGGGGAAAAGAGGUGGCCGAGAGGGGAGAAAAAAAACUACGGUAAAAAGCUGAUUUUCCCAACUUUGGCCUCAAAUGUUUUCAUGUUUAGGAUAUGAAAUCCACUCCUAUUUAUAGGGGGUAGAAGAGGGACACUUUAUCUUUUUUGGGGAUAAAUCUUAGCCCUUAAUUUGAACCGGAAGGAUCUCAACCGUUGGUUCAAAGUUGCCAUCAUGAAUCGUCAGAUUUUGACAACUUAAGGUUGCCUGAGUUGGUCUUGUUAGGGCGGCGCCGAGGCCAUUGUGGUGUCAAUCGGUCAGAAAGAACCAUACUAUGGUUUGGUCAAGUGUUAGGCCAUCAUGUUGGUGUAUGCUUUAAUCAGUUUGAUUGAGAGAUGAAACAUUAAAUGUCACUAAAAAGUAGCCACACAAACAACUUUUUUGGGUGAAAAUAAAGAAAAAGAUGAAUAGUAGACCAGACAACAAGUCGUCUAGUCUGUCUUUUAUUGGUCAAAACAUUGUCAUUUUGUCCUUUAGGGUUUUUAAUUUAGGGAUUUAACAAAAUGUCAAUUUAGUCCCUCGACUUUUGAUUUCUUUUAGUUGCAUCCCUAAUUGGCCUUGAACUUUUAAUUUUGCCCCUGAAAAACUUCAACAUCGGACCUAAUACGUUGUUAAGGUAGCGCGGGUCUGACACACAUGCUAGACCCAAUACACUUUGACUUAAUAGUGUGCCAAGCCCAAGAUAAUGUGGGUUUCGCACACAUGAUAGAUCUAAGGCGUUUGGACUUGGCAGUCAGCCAAGCCCAAGAUAACGUGGGUUUAACACGCAUGCCAGACCCAAGGAGUUUGGACUUGGUAGUAAGUCAAGCCCAAGAUAAUACUCUCAUGGCAUGUCCAAUGGAGUGACUAACCUCAAUUGACUUUAACCUCGGAGAAGAACUCAGUCUUAUAGGCUUAACUACACUUGACGUCUUAAACUCGAAUCUCUAAACACCUUUUUAGAUGUAUAAAAGUCAUUCAAAGACCCUUUUUAGAUGUAUUCCCAUCAGGUAAGGGAUAUUUAUCCCUCAUUAAAUGCUAUUAGGAUAAUUACACUGCAGACCCUUUUUUUUUUUACAAAAAGACAAAAUUUAUAGGCUAUAAAUACAUCAUGAAAGCUUCAUAACAAGGUUCACAAUCUCCAAUUCUAUACUGCAUUUAUAUUUUCAUAACAUCUCUUUCUAGAAUAUUCUUGUAUUUUCUCUCUCUAAAAAGAUACUUAUUUAUGCAUCAGAGAGUCCUCACCUCCACCAAAUGGGACCUUUUGCAGGUAUUAAUCACAAGCAGCUUUGGUCAAUCAAGGACCAAAUAUAAACUUUCAACUACCUUGACAAGGAAGAACGGAGGAGAUUGUCAGGACCAAUUGAUUAACCAAUUGUCCAACUUGGAAGCCUUAUUUCCAGACUAGUUGGAUUUUUAGGACAUCAUCAUUAAUCAUAUGCUUAUAUACAAUCACGGUUACGAAUGUCUAGCAAUAAUGAAUUUAUAAAAUAACAAGCAUAAAAUCUCAAGACUACAAGUAUAAAUCAUUAAAAUAUUGUUUAUAGUGUUCGUGACAUAACAAUUGUCAACUAUUUAACAGCUUGGACUUAAAGUGAACAAGUCUUGGUUAUUUUUGUUUUGAUUCUAGUCAUUCAACACAAGUCAUAUCCAUGAUCCAUUUUAUAUAGUUGGAUCAUCAUCAAAACACAAAUGUUUCACCAUUAUUUGAUGGUACAAGAUCAACCCCUCUAAUUUAAAACUUGAAGUUUAAUAGGUUCAAUAUUUGAAUUCACAUUACAUUACUAUAAUAUGUAGCCUUUUUAACAAGAAUACAUGAGGAAACUUACUUAUCUCACUGAUCUUUUAUUAUGUGUUGGUUUUUCUCUUGGAUUGUAUUUUUUAUAUAAUAUUAUUGAUAAUGCAUUGGAUGAAGAAAGAGGAUAUGACGGUAAGAAAAAAUUCCCUAGUUAUCUCUUAAAAAUCACCUAUGCCCUAAUCUACAUUAAGGUAGUGUUUAGGAAUGCGGUUGAAACCGUGUUUUUUAAAAAUUUUAAAUUUUUGUUUUUAUUUAUAAUUAAUUUUUUUAUAUUUUCUGAUUAUUUUGAUAUGCGAUAUUACAAAAUUUUAAAAAUUAAAAAAUAUAUUAUUUUAAUAUAUUUUUCAAUAAAAAAAAUAUUAAAUUAUAAUUAUUACUGUACUCUCAAACUGAAUAGAUUUUGAAUCAAUAACAUGCUUUUCAAAAACUCUCGUAAAACCAUAUAAAAAAAAAAGGAAAGAAAAAACCCAGCCUUCUUUAACGCAACAUGAAUUACUGUGGAGCAAACUUGUUUUAUUCUAGGUCUAUGCUCUUCAUUUGUUGAAGAAGUAUCUUCGCGCCCUCCUAUUUCGAACAAAGACAACUUGCUCAGGAUGAAAUCCAUGGUCAGGAACUCCAUUGCUCGUCGUGUUGUUCCUAAUCAACGAAACUUCAAUUUCCAAAUUCAAAACAAACAGCAAACCUUAAACACUGACUCCAAUAUUCUCGUUAAUGGCUGCAACCGAUUCUCCUGUUGCUCCUCCCUUUUCCAAGCCUAUCAACAAAGCCCCGAACCUCAAAUUCAACCACAGCUCCCAAACUUGAACACAGACCCUCGACCAUGGAACCCUAGCUCCCAAACUUAAGCACAAAUCACAAACCCUCAACCAUGGAACCCUUCUAGUCAAUGUCUGCCAUUACUUGUUGUGUUGUUGCCAAAUUAAUUCACCCUUAUACUCCUCUCUAAAAAAACUUCUUUUUUUUUCAAUUUCCAAAUUGAAGCACAAAUCACGAACCCUAAACCAUGGAACCCUUCUAACCAAUGAUUGGUGUUGUGUUGUUGCCAAAUUAAACCACCCCCUCUCUCCUUUAUAUAUAUAUAAAAAACCCUUUCUUUUUCAAGCUCCUCCAUUUGCUUAUGCUCCUUCUUUUCCCAGCGCAUGGAGAGAGGACGGGAAAGGAAGAGAAGAGAUAAGUUAAGGAACGAUAGAAUUAUGUGUUUCAAGAAAAGCUUUUUCUCCCUUAACUGAGAAGCAAUGAUCAUUGAUUGGGAAGAUUGAUGGGAUAUAUAUAAAAAUAAAAAUUUACUUUAAAAUUAAUUUUUAUUUUUUUAAUUAAAUAUAUUUAUAUCAACUUUAUCUACAUCUUUUCUUUAAUAAAAUAUUAACCAAACACUAGAAAAACAAUGAUUUAGUCUGGCUUAAUUUUUUUUCUUUGUAAUGUAAUAAUUUAUAAUUGUAAUGGUAAUCUAAAAUAAUCUUAAGGUAUUAUUAUUAAGGUUUUUAAACAUAUUUAAAAUUUUUAUGAUGAUCAAAAUAAAGUAUUGAUAAAAUAAAUUGUAAUUUAUUAUUAUUAUACACACACUCACUUGUAUAGUCGUCAUGCACGAGAAUUUUAUGAAUACUUUUACUCUUUAUGAUUUAAGAAGUUUAUUAUAUUUUAUUUAAGAUUUUAAAUAGAAUUAUUAAACCUAUAGUUGAUUUGGUGUAAGAUGUCAAUUAUAAAUAGAAUGAGUUAACCUAAAUUUAGUCCGAUCAAAUGAUUGGUUGAUUAAUAUAAGAUCCGGAUAGUAAAUUAUGAAUGGGUUAAUCUAAUUUUUUUAAAGUGAAAAUAAUAUUAUUUUAAUUUUGAAAUAUUAAUAAGUUUUAAUCAGUCAUAUUUUUAAUAUCAACUUUUUUAUUUUUUUGUAUAACUCGAUCCGAAUUAAAUUUUAUAACUCUAGUGUUGCGAGUAUAAUAACUUUUAUUUUUAGAUAUAAUUCAAAAUAUAUUUCAUUUAAAAAACAUUAUAUUUUAGUAUUUUUGAUAAUUUUAAUAUAAUAAUAUAAAAAACUUAAAAAAAUUAUUUUAAUACAACUCCUUUAUUUUUUUAUAACCCAACCUAGAUUAGGUUUUAUUAGUAGUGUUUAAAAGUGGAGUGAAUUGUUUUUUUAUGUAUUUUAAAAAUAAUUUUUACUUAAAAAAAUAUCAAAUUAAUAUUUUUUAUAAUUUUAAUAUAUUAUAUCAAAAAUAAAAAAAUACUUUUAUAUAUUUUUAAGCUAAAAACAAUUCUCAUCACAAUUCUAAACAUAUAAUAUAAUAAAUAGGUACACUAUAAAAUAUAAAUUCAUGACAUGAACAUCACAAGUCUCAAAAGUGCCAAAACCUCCCUCCCCCUCCCUCCUUUCCAAAUUUCAACACGCACCACCAACACAAACACAAACACGAACACUGAAACACUCCUUAAGAAACGACGAUGCAUUUCUCUCUUUCUUCUUCCCUCUCUCGCUAAAACUGAAACUGUUCCUCUUCUUCAAUCAAUCAAUCAAAGAUGAGUACAGUAGACAAGAUGCUGAUAAAAGGAAUCCGGAGCUUCGACCCGGAAAACAAACACGUCAUCACCUUCUUAAGGCCUCUUACUCUCAUCGUCGGCCCCAACGGCGCUGGAAAAACCGUAAUAAUCAUCACUAUCAUUUCCUUUCCUUAUUAGUUUCCUUUUUUUUACAAAUAUUAUUUAUUUUUACAGACGAUAAUAGAGUGCUUGAAAGUUGCAUGCACCGGAGAGUUGCCUCCGAAUGCUAGGUCUGGUCACAGUUUCAUCCAUGACCCUAAGGUAACUCUAACUUUUCUCUCUCUAUUUUUUUAAUUUUGAGAGGACCGGUUGGUUAAUUAGUUGAUUAUCUGUUGUUGUUAGGUUGCCGGUGAAACGGAGACGAAGGGGCAAAUUAAGCUGCGGUUUAAGACCGCGGCCGCGAAGGAUGUGGUGUGUAUAAGGUCAUUUCAGUUGACACAAAAGGCGUCAAAAAUGGAGUAUAAAGCCAUUGAGAGUGUGCUUCAAACGAUCAAUCCACAUACUGGAGAGGUAACAUUUCUAUGAAUUCUUGUUGUUUUGUUAGAAUUGAAGGUUUCACGGAGAAAAAAUUGAUAGCAGCCUGUUAGGGUUCAGAUUAUUAGUGUAAGGCUAAUGGAUAUUCUUUCAUGGCAAAAUUAGGGUAGUUGUGAUGCAAAUGUAUGCGUGUUUUUUUAACACUAUCUUGUGUGAAUCUUGAUACGGUCGUCACUUUUUUUUCUUGGUUGUUGUUGGAAUGCAGAAAGUCUGCCUUAGCUAUAGAUGUGCUGAUAUGGAUCGAGAAAUUCCUGCUUUGAUGGGUGUCUCGAAGGCCAUUCUAGAAAAUGUUAUAUUCGUGCACCAGGAUGAAGCUAAUUGGCCUCUACAAGAUCCUUCUACGUUAAAGAAGAAAUUCGAUGAUAUCUUCUCUGCUACUCGGUAUUCUUUGAGCUUUUCCCCUGAAAUAUUGAGAAAAGAUUUUAUAGUUAUCAUCUGUCACUGAGUGUGCCGUUAGUUGCUACAGCCACUUGCUUUUUUCGUUGUGGUUAAUUGUGUUUAAUUGCUUCACUUGUAUUCUCUUGCUUUAACUUGCUUUCUUUACUACACUGUAUGAUGGUCUCGAGUAUGUGAAAUAUGCAUUCUAGAACACGUAAACAAGAAGUCUCUUAGUACCUUAUUUAAUUUUAUCUCCGACUUUGCAAGUUUACUCAUUUUUUUCUUGGAACAGAGAAUGAACUUGAUAUUGUUUUAAAGUUUCACUCUACAGUAAAUUGUAAGAGUGAAAGCUACAGUUGAAACACGCAUUAUUAAAUAAAUGUUUGUAAGAAAUGAGAGUGUAAAGAUCAAAGAUUGAUAUAGAGCUCAAGUAUUCAAGUGAUGUCUUUCUUGGUGAUCAAGAGCAUGAAAAGCAUCCUAUCUAUAUUUUAAAUACCACUUAUCAAAACAAAGCAGAUUCAAAAUGCUAAUCUUUGCAAAAUAAUAACAGUUAGGGAAAUUGUUUCCUGCUAUUUGUUGAUGUUUUAAGAUUGAAUGUGUUCAUGACAUGGAUUAUAUAUAAAAGAAUGCAAAAAAGUUUAUGCAAUACAACAUUGAAGCCAUGCUCAAUUAAACAGAUAUUUUAUCACUUGGUGCCCACUUCAUUUCAUUUUGGUAAGCAUUUUGCUGAUCCUUAGCAAGAAGCUAAUAAUACUUUUGCCAUGCUCAAUUAAACAGAUAUACAAAAGCCUUGGAGGUCAUCAAAAAGCUUCACAAGGAUCAAGCUCAAGAGAUAAAGACAUACAAACUAAAAUUAGAGAAUCUUCAAACCUUGAAGGAUGCUGCAUAUAAGGUUGUAUUUCUUUUUUCCAUCCUUUUCUUCUUAUAGCAAGCUGGUCAUAUUUAUUAGUUUUUCAGGUCUUAUUUUUUCUACUUUUUUAUUUACUAUGGCAGUUCUUUUUGUUAUUUCAUGACGAAUUGAUAAUCUGUCUUGCAAAUGAUCUUCUGACUGCUAAGAAAGUUGUAAUAUCAUUGUUUAUUUGGAAUAUAUAGUAUCUCUAUUUCAAUCCUUCAAUCUCUCUCUUUCUCAUGAAAGGCAGUGGCAACAGUGUAUGCUUGCAUUCUCUGUCAAACUAGUAGUGAAGAACCGGAGUGUGAUCUCGUCUUUACAUCAAUGAACGAGACUAUGGGCGGAUUAUAAUUUCUCUUCUGCAUUAGAACAUGACAUCACUGUUGACAUUAAACUAUUAGGAAUAUGACCUAUAAUGUUUCCUUUUGAAAUGCAUUUGGAAAAUUCAUUUACUUGGUCCGAAUAACUGACAUGGACAGUGAUUUUCUUUUGCUUUGUAGUGUGCUUUCAGCACUUGUUUUUCUUAUUAUCAAUAACUAUGUAGGAUCCAAAACUCAGAUCUUCAUUUGCUGUUCCAGUGAAUUAAAUAUCAUGGGCUGUGGAUAUCACUCAAUAGUUUGUUAAAUUUGAAGCUGUCAGGGUUUUCACUCUAUUUUAGGCUUCAUGUCAUUUAAGCACUUAAUUUUGAUCAGGCUUCACCUGUAGAAUCACAGCCUGUUGUGAUAAGUAUAUCUUAAAAGUAAUGUUGCCCUGUAGUGUGGAUCCUGUGGCUUGGAUUGUUUACUUUCAGAGAUGAAGCAUGGCUUGUAGUAAGAUUUCAGAUUGGAGGAAAUGUAGGAUUCUGUGCCUUUGUGUUGGUUUUGCUGUCAUUUAGGUAUGUUUGGAUAACUAGGAGUCGUAGGGUUUUUAGCAAUCUUUUCUUCUCCAGACAAGUGGGGUGAGGGUUAGGACAAUAUUUCUUGCAUCCUUGUGGUCUCGUGGCUCAGGAGCUUUUAGGGAGUUUCCCUAGCUGACUUUCAGGAGGAUUGGACCAUGCUUUAUUUUUUUCUUAAGGACUUUCCUUUUCCCUUUGUUUGGAGGAUGAUUUAUUCUCCAAUAAGUUUUUGUACGUUCUUUUCUUUAAUCAAGCAUUCUUCUUUUAUAAAGAAAAGGCAAAAGUAUUGGAUGGAAGCUCUUAACUCAUUAUUUUGAUUGAGCUGUCUAUUUAAACAUUGACUUAGUGCAUGUUUCCUUUUCAUUUUGCUAGAUUGGGCCAAGUGAUAGUGUAACACUUAAUAAGCAUAAAGUUGGUAUGAAGGUGCUUCUAUGUAGCACUUAUUGAUGUCAAGUUUUGUUUGUACAGCUUCGGGAAAGCAUUGGUCAAGAUCAAGAGAAAACAGAAAUUUUAAAAGUCCAAAGUCAGGAGUUAGAAAGUAACCUUCAGAAUUUGGAUGCAAAAAUUCAUCAUACUGAAGUAACUCUGAAAGAUAUGAGAAAAUUACAGGACCAAAUAACAAUCAAGACUGCUGAAAGAAGCACUUUGUUCAGGGAGCAGCAGAGGCAGUAUGCAGCUCUUGCUGAAGAAAAUGAAGGUUUGCCAUGCAUGGGAACAGCAAUAUUGUUUUUCUGCAUAUCUCAUAUUCAUAUACACAUAUAUGUCAAGUCUUAGAUGUGUGUGCUUAUUACCAUGUCUUUAGAACCAAUUCCUUGAGCAGUAAAGGAAGAUGCUGAUUUUCUGAAAUCAUUCUCUACUUAUUUUUCAUGUACAAUUCUCUCUGUUUCAGACACUGAUGAAGAACUACAGGAGUGGAAAACCAAGUUUGACGAAAAGAUUGCAAGUUUGGAAUCGAAUAUUUGCAAAUUGGAGAGGGAAAUGAAUGACAUGGAGACAAAGGGUUCUUUUCUUAAGCAAAACAUUAAUGAGUAUAUCCGAGAGAUCAGCAGGCUUCAGACUGAAGCUGAGGUAAUGCUAAUGAAACUAUUCACAUUUGAUAUUUAAAAACUGUUUAAUUUAUGGCAGAGCUUGCAAAUGACUCCCUUUCUUUUGAAAAUUAGGCUCAUGCAUCCUUGAAGAAUGAAAGAGAUUCCAAUAUCCAAAAAAUGUAUACAAGACAUAAUCUAGGUCCUCUUCCUAAUGCCCCAUUCAGUGAUGAUGUUGCUUUGAACCUCACAAAUAGAUUAAAGUCAAGGUUGGUGGAUCUUGAUAAGGAUCUACAAGAUAAAAAGGUAACCCCCCCCCCCCCCCGAUAUACCAUUCCUUUACCUGUGUGCCUAUGUAAAACACAAAUUGUAUAUGCUCAAAUUUCUGUUCUUCAAUUGGCAAGUUAAAGAUUUCAAAGCGUUUCUUGUUCACUUGAAGACUGAAAUUACGCUCCAUGAAAUCUUUGAAGCUUUAAGACAUGAACUUGAUUUGCCUGUUAUUUCAGACAUCAAAUGAUACUGAAGUUAAGAGAGCAGAGAAUUGCUACUGGGAUGCCAAUGAACGCUGGAAAAAUACGGAGGCUCAAAAACAGGCUAAAGUAGAGAUAAAGGUGGGCACUAUUGGGGGUUUCUGGAAGGGUACAUGUUUUAUUUCUAGAGUUGUAAGUUUUAUGUGUGACUCUUGAUAUUGUAACUUUAUGCAGAAUAGCAUUUUAAAUCGCAUUACAGAGAAGGAAAGGGAGCACUCUUCCUUUGAAGAACAAAUUUCACAUGUUAAUCUUUCUCACAUUGAUGAAAAAGAAAAGAACAUGGUGAGGAUGUCUUUGCAUAAGAUGUACCCAAGUUUGCUUAUUUUAACUGAAAACAAUUGAAAGAGAAGUUCCUUGUGAUUUUUUCAGCGAAUUGAGGUUGAGAGAAAGACAAAUCAGCUAGCUGAAAGAGAAUUUGAAUCACACAUUCGACAAAAGCAGAGUGAGCUGUAUGGCAUAGAGCAACAGAUUAAGGUUCUUAAUCGAGAGAAAGACAUUUUGGCUGGAGAUUCUGAGGACAGAGUGAAACUGUCUCUAAAGAAAGUAGAGCUGGAAAACCAUAAAAAGAAACAUCGAAAAAUGUUAGUUAGAUCUUUUUUGCCUUGCUUAUAGGACCGGGCAAUCCAUACUCUUUUGUUUCUUCACGUUGUCUCCAUCCCUCUCUCUCUCUUAUCCCUCAUAGCUAUUUUUUUUUUCCAGAAUUGAUGAAUGCAAGGAUAAAAUCAGAGGAGUGCUAAAAGGGAGGCUUCCUCCAGAUAAGGAUUUGAAGAAGGAAAUUACUCAGACCCUAAGGUUAUUCUAUUCUCUUUAAUUUGUUCUGUGCUCACAGAUAACAUCUGUACAAGAAUCCGUUUGUGGAUUUUAUUGAUGCUUUUUUGAUUCAUUUUUGGUUAGCAGAAAAUUAAACAUGUGAUUGCUUGAUUUUCUGACUUUUUUUUUCUUUCAAUUCUUGUCAUUUGCCAUACUGUAGCAUAAUUUUUCCCUUAUUCAUUAUUAUUGAUAGUGCUUUUACAACCUCCUUCAAAAGUUGUGGCUUUGUAUUGAACCCUAGUGAAUUAUAUAAAUUUUGAGAUUUCAGAUCUCUCCUCAUAAGAUGGUCUUUCAGAGCCUGCUAUUGGUUUGUAUGUGAGAAUUGCCUGGCAAGCUUUCUGGAUGUUUUAACUUUUGUCAACACCUUCUUCAAUGAGAUAUUGACAAGUUGAUAGUGCUCCUGCUGCAGGGCUCUUGGGUUGGAGUUUGAUGACUUGAAUAUGAAAUCCCGUGAAGCUGAGAAGGAGGUAAAUGUGUUGCAGAUGAAAAUACAAGAAGUUAAUAAUAACCUUUCCAAACAACGCAAGGACAUGGACUGUGAGUAUUGCUUCACAUCUAAAAAUGAAGUACUGCUUAUGUUUAUCCCGUGGAUCAGUCAGAAAUAUUGUUACUAAUUGUUGGUCAUGCAUUUCCUUGCUCUGUUAAAGAGUCUGAUCUGAAAUUGUUAAUGAGAAUUUAUCCUCACUGUAGUGGCGGUAACUUUUUGCAGGACUUCUUAGGCUACUUUAGUUUUUUAAGGGGGUCGAAGGGUAUGUGUGUUUGGUGAGCAAAUGGGACUGGAGUGUACUGUAUGAGAAAUGACCGGGCUUUCACACGAGGGUAGGUUGACCAAAAUUGGGUGCCAGACAAGACAAAAACAAAUUGCCUUGUGUGCUCCAAACAACAUUACUAGUGGAGUCAUCCUGUUCAGUCCCAGUACAUAUUGCUACCUCAGUUCCCUUUGUUUUAUUUAUGAAUACUUUUGGGGCUAGGAUUUUAUGGCUGGUAUUCUAAUCUUUGUUUAAAUAACAAAUUUUUGGCUGUUCUUUUGAGAACUUUAGGGUUUGGAUAGUUCAGAACAUUUUCUCUCAUAAAGCAUAGGCUUCAGUGAAGUGUGCCUCCACUGAAUUGUGCUCAUGACUGUGAUUUAAGAAUCCCGGAACUCGGCAUUUCCAUUUUGCUUUUUCUUUCUUAUAAUCUCUUGCUCAUGGUGCUUAAAAAUUGUUUUCUGACCUAUUUAUUGACACGUGGACUGGAUAUAAUGUAGCUAGGAAGAGAUUUAUUGAAUCCAAACUCCAGUCCUUGGAUCAACUGUCAUUUAGUGUUGAUUUAUAUCUCAAAGCAUUGGAGUCGUCCAAGGAGAAAAGAGAUGUUCAGAAAAGGUUCCUCUUUUUGCUUCCUACAUGAUAUAAACAUUAUGUGUAUGGGCUAUUGGACAUGUUGACAUAUAAUUUCUGUGGCUAUGAAGAUACUAAUAUAGGGUAUGGUGUAUCACCUGCAGCAAGUACAAUAUUGCAGAUGGUAUGCGGCAGAUGUUUGAUCCUUUUGAACGAGUUGCCCGUGCUCAUCAUGUGUGCCCUUGCUGUGAACGCCCUUUCUCUGCUGAAGAGGAAGACGAAUUUGUUAAAAAGGUUUGUUAUAUGUAAUCCAAUCACGCAUUGUGCUGUGGUAUGCAUAUCUAAGAGUAUUAUCCUAUAGCGAUACUCAGAUAGCCUGAAACUUGAGAGGGAAUGCUGUUUAAGCUUCAUGUAUUAUUUUCUGAAUAUGCUGAUAUCUUCUGUGGCAUGCAGCAAAGAGUGAAGGCUGCAAGUUCUGCAGAGCAUAUGAAAGUGUUGUCUAUGGAAUCUUCAAAUGCAGACACUCUUUUUCAGCAGUUGGACAAGCUUCGUAUGGUUUAUGAAGAAUAUACCAAAAUUGGCAAGGAAACAAUUCCUCUUGCUGAGAAAAACUUGAGUGAGCUAACUGAAGAGCUGGAGCAAAAGUCUCAAGCCCUUGAUGAUGUAAGUACAGUAUUGCUUCUGGCACUUUUAACUUUUAAAUAACUUUUGUCUGCUGAACUGGAAUGCUGGACUUGUUAUAAUGGAGCUGUCUUUGGUUUUUAUAUGCUAUAGCUCAGAACAAGUUUAUACGUCACCCACGGGCAUCAAUGAUAUACUGUCUGCUCCUGGGAAAGCAUGUGAACCAUAGUCUCACUUAAUUAAUUAAUCAAUCUGUGAAAAAAAUGUUCUGUUCAUAACUCUUUUUUCCUCUCAAUUUGUUAUCUAAUAUUUAGCUUUUAGAUGUUGGACUGUAUUAUGUUGUCAAGAAUUUUUAGCGAUGAUAAGGAUAAUGUAGUCAUGACACUGGAGAUCAGUGGUUAUAACAUGAGGGAUUGAUUUUUUUCAAGUGGGAGCAUUUCAAGAACAAGAGAAAGUCCCCAUGUCACGUCUUUCAUAAUUUCCCUAGAGGACAUUCGUAGAAAGGGCAUGACACAAAUAUAAGCUCAACAAAAUCCAGGGCUGACAUUGCUGAAAUUAUUGGAGAACAGUUUCUUGGAAGAUGAGGACUGUCUUAUAUAUCUUUUGUUGAAGAAGCAAUAGAUGUCUCCCUGGAUUGAACCUAAUUGGAUGGAAAUCUACAAUUGGAUUUUGAAUUUUUAGCAAAGACACAGGCGUCAGUAUGCCUGGACUGCAUCAUAUGGAAGAGCCGAAUAGACAUAGUUCAAGACUGUAGAAAUGCAGCUGCCUACUAUCACACAAAAGUUGCAACUUGCAGAGAAAACUAGUGAAAUUAAGUAAAUAACCAUGCAGCCGACCCAAAAUAGGGAGUGCAGCCCCAUGCGGUUGACUUUAUUGUUGUUGGGUUGAUGGUUUUAUGCUCUAUGUAGUGGGUUGAACUUUAUUUUGAAAUAGCCCUUCCAUAAAAGUCAAAAGUUUUUUUCUUUUUUGCAAUUAUUUAUAAUCCUUUUAAUAUAAUUCUUGUAUCAUUUCCAAUUGCAUAUGGUAUCAUGGCAGCUAGUGGAUAAGGAGGGCCUCAGAACUCAGACGUGCUCUGUUAUCGUGGAUUUAUUAUUCUUUAAUGUGAUAUUUGGUGGCUAAUCAUUGAUUUUGCUUGAUGAUUGUUUAGUUAUGAGUAUGACAGUGCAGAAUGGUUUUGCUCAUAGGUGUUGGGUGUUUUAGCUCAAACAAAGGCCGAAAAAGACUCAGUUGAGGCCUUGGUGCAACCUGUUGAAACAGCUGAUAGGCUUUUCCAAGAAAUUCAGACUUGGCAAAAGCAAGUCGAUGAUUUAGAAUACAAGCUUGAUUUUAGAGGGCAAGGUGUUAGAACCAUGGAAGAAGUGCAGUCAGAGCUAAGUAGUUUGCAAGGCACAAAGUAUAGCAGCUUAUCCCUUAAUUAUCUAUUUGAUUUUUUUUCCAGCAUACUUAUCAAGCAUUUUCCAGUUAGUGACCGCCCACAUUCUCAAAAUACAUGUUUUUUUUAUCAUUUUAUUUUAUUUUGAUUUACAGUUCUGAAGUUGCCAUAUCAUUUCAGGAUAUAUCAGUAUUUUUUUUCUUCCUCUUUUUCCUUGAGCUUUAUCUCUCUCUUGACAGGGAUAAUUUGCAUAAUGAAGUGGAGAAGUUAAGGGAUGAGCAAAGGUACAUGGAAAAUGAUUUAUCACAUAUUCAAAUUCGGUGGCAUGCUCUGCGGGAGGAAAAAGUUACGGCAGCUAAUAUAUUGCGUGAUGUUAAAAAGUCAGAAGAAGAGUUAGAACGUUUGGUAGAGGAAAAACAUCAAGUUGAGCUGGAAGAGAAGGUUGUCUUUAUUUUCUUAAUUGUUAAUAGUCCAUGACUGUAUAUUUUCUAUUUUCAUUUAAUUUUAAAAUCUUGUGACCGUUUUGUUGAGCAUCUGUUUUUGUCUGUUUCUAAAGAUUUUAGAACUUCUGAAACGACAAAAUGUGGAUUUCAAAAUUUUCAUGAUUGGUUUUAUGUAUUAACUUUCCAUUUCAAUUAAGUUUUUCCAGUUUGGUGGUCAAUGCUUUGAGAGAAUUUGACUGAAUGCUUGAUGCUGCGAGUUGUGACUUUCUUGGUGUAGUGCAGUAACCUGGAGUCCAUGGCUAUAACUUGCUCUGAUAAUUAGUUUACUAAAUGCAGUCUUAAUAAAAAACAAUUCCUUUUGCUGUAAUAUAAUUGAUUUUCUGUGGUCCCUUUCCAGCAUUUGGCAGAGGCUGUUGGUCCUUUAUCUAGGGAGAAAGAAAAAUUACAGGGCGAACACAAUGAGUUGAAAGUCCAACUUGAGCGGGAAUACGAGGAACAAAAAAAACAGUUAGACAACUUUAAACAGGAGGUGGACACACUUGUUAGAAUUGCAUCAAAGAUUAGAGAGUAAGUUCUAUGAAACCGAGCUUUUCUCGGGUGUUGUAUCUAAAGUCUCUAUUUCUUGGUAAUCAAAGCCCAAAGAUCUAUGAACUAUCCCAUGUUUGACCAGCCAAGCAGACAGAGGACCCUGUAUAAUUUUUCUCUCUUCCCCAUUCUUGUUUGUACAAGCAUUUCCUAUUUCCAAUGAAAUUGAGGGGGAUGAUUUUCCUCAUUUGCAUUGAUCAUCAAUUCUGUUUGCCAGGUAUUAUAAUUUAAAGAAAGGUGAAAGAUUGAAAGAAAUGCAAGAAAAACUAUCUUUAUCCGAGUCCCAACUUCAAGGUUGUGAUGCUAGGAAGCAGGAAAUUUUAGCAGAACUCAAUGACAGUAAAAAUGCAGUGCGAAGUCAAGAUAACCUUAGAAGAAGUAUUGAGGACAACUUAAAUUACAGGAAAAUAAAGGCUGAAGUGGAAGAGCUUACCAGGGAGAUUGAAUCAUUGGAAGAGAGAAUACUGAAGAUUGGUGGGUUUUCCUCAUUUGAAGCUGAACUUGCAAAGCUAUUACAAGAAAGAGAGAGACUUCUUUCAGAGGUAUGUAUGAAAAAUAAUAUAUCUUUCUUUGAGACUGAUAUUUUAUGUCCCUGCUGAUGUACCUUCCUUUUCUUAUUUGCCAUUUUAUUUUUAAGCUUGGUUAACCCACAAGUCUGUCAUAACAAAACUUUAUACUGUUAAUUUAAAUAAGUGUUAGGUUAUAGAGUAGAUCUAAUUGAGACUAUUAUUGAAUAAUGCAAUUUUGGUGUUUCAGGUUUGAUUUGUUUAAUGUAUGGUGACCGGGCCUUUUCAUGUUGUAACUUUAUCUUAAUACACUGGAUUAAUUGUUAGGAUACACAAUUUGAUCUUAUUGACGUCUGUUAAGGAAUAACACGGUGGUUACGCUUUGGGUUUAGUGUAUGGUGGCUAUGGAUCUUUUCAUUUGAUAACUUAAUUAUUCUGGUCAUAUGUUUAGGGUUGUGUCAGAACCUGCUGCUUUGUUCCAUGGAUUAAUCAUUUGGUUUGUUUGUUACUUCAUCUGCCUCUGCAUGUUCUUGAGACUGAAUUUGCCUUACACAUAUGAGGAACUUCAACGAAAAGUAGAUUCUCUUUUGAUGCAGUCCUAACCUUGGUGGCUUAAACACUGGUAUUGCAUACUCGAGUCUUGGCUACUAGAGAAUUAGGAAAUAAUGUCUUGAAGUGUUUUAUUAGAGGAGGUGUUGCUGGGUUUGAACCUGGGACACCCACUGGUACCAUGGACGCUGCCCUCCCUGAUAGUGAAAAUGUGCAAUGAUAUAUCUAUCUUUUAACUCUAAAGUGUUCCAUGUAUGAUUGUAUCUUAUAGGAAAAUGGGCUCCUAUUUUUUUGUAUUGUAUUGCAGUCGAAUGAAUUAGGGAGAUAUGGAAACCGAUAUUCUUGGAGAAAGAGUAAUGGUAUUUGUUUAGUUGAUUAAUGUGCCAAGGAUAUUUUUGUCCUUUUUUGUCUAAACAGUUGAACAGGUUCCGUGGAACAAUGUCUGUUUACCAGAACAAUAUUUCGAAGAAUAAAAUUGAUCUUAAACAGGUGCAAUACAAAGAUAUUGAUAAGCGAUACUUUGAUCAGUUAAUCCAGCUAAAGGUGGGACAUUUUGCUGACUGCUUGGAUGUGUUUUUUGUUACUCAUCCCAAUCUGUUGUUAACUUGGACAUCUUGUUACAGACUACUGAAAUGGCAAACAAGGACCUGGACAGAUACUACAAUGCACUUGACAAGUGAGCUUUUCCAAUUAAUUUUUAUAUUGCUUUUUGGUUCAUUUUGACACCUGUUUUUAUUAUCAGGGAUUGGUACAUACUAAAAUAAAAGCUAUAUAAUACAAUGCAUCUGAAAGUCACUUGUGUUGUUUGCUGGAUACUGUAUAAGAUAUCUGUGUACUGCAUUCAAAACUCUUCAAUUUGAUAUUAUAUAAGAUAUCCGCGUUUGAUGUUGGGCUGUUGGCUGCCCCUCACAAGUUCAUACAGCAGCUUUGAUCGUAUGUCAUCAUGACUUUUCUCAGUGCCUUGGUUCAAUCUUGUAUGGCUAUGUCUUGUGUUUAUAACAAUCACUACUUAAUGGUUUAUGAACUCUCACCGAGAAUUUUGCAGCACCACAAUAGCUUGCAAAUGCAUAUUUUACUUACCAAGGGAACAAAAAAAAAGUAGCAGAUGGCCAAAAAAAUUGGGGCUUCUAGGCUAGUGCUUUAUUUUAUUGCUCCUCCUUGAUCUGUGGCUCAUAAAAUUGUGCAUUGCUUCUUUAUUGAACAUGGUGUCUCUCUGUCUGUUUUAUUAUACUUGGAACUUGAUGGGAAUUGAACAUGGGAAUGCCUGUUACCCCUUAACUCCCGGACUCAACUCAACUGGUAUGUUUGUUAAAAAAAAAACUCAUCUGGUAUGUGGGUGAGAGGGCAUGCUUCGGAACAUUGCUCACUCUUUUCUGAUGUUAAAUCCUCUUUACCUUCAAUAGAAGAAUGCAUUCUACAUGGGAAAGGGACUUUUUUCAGCUAGUGUCUUCCUCUUUCUACUGACUAGAAUUAACUGUCACUGUGUUGUUAGGGCACUCAUGCGCUUCCACACAAUGAAAAUGGAGGAAAUUAAUAAAAUCAUUCGGGAAUUGUGGCAACAAACAUACAGAGGACAGGAUAUAGAUUAUAUUAGCAUACAUUCAGAUUCUGAAGGUGCUGGGACUCGUUCUUACAGCUACAAGGUAAAAAAGUAAAAACAACUCUAAAACUGUGCUUACUUCUUACAGUUAAUUUUUUUCUGCCCUAUGACUGCAUAUCAUUCUUCCAUUGCAUUCAAUGCAGGUUGUCAUGCAGACAGGUGACGCUGAGCUUGAAAUGAGAGGAAGGUGUAGUGCUGGUCAGAAGGUGAGUAAUAUUUGACUGCUAUUUCCCUUCAGUUUUUACAACGAGGGAAUUGAGAACUUAUGGUUCAUUCAUAGGUCCUUGCUUCACUUAUUAUUCGGUUGGCUUUAGCCGAGACAUUUUGCCUCCACUGUGGAAUACUAGCUCUAGAUGAACCUACAACAAACUUGGAUGGCCCAAAUGCUGAGAGUCUUGCUGCAGCUCUCCUUAGGUAAGAUCAGAAUAUGAAGUCCAUCAUAGGAUAACUAAUCACAUUUUCCCAUCAAACUGGGGGGGGAGCUUAUAGAAUUAUAAUGAGAUAUUGUAUUAACUAGUCUUCCUGUUUUUCAUUUUCUCCAGAAUCAUGGAGGAUAGGAAGGGCCAGGAGAAUUUUCAACUGAUUGUAAUUACUCAUGAUGAGCGAUUUGCUCAACUUAUCGGUCAGCGACAGCAUGCAGAAAGAUACUAUCGAGUUGCAAAAGAUGAUCAGUAUGGCUUUUCAAUUUUACUCUGUUGUCUUGUGUUACUGGGUCUGACCUGUUUUAGCUUUCCAUUUGUUAUUUAAUUUUAUCUCUUAGUAAUUUCUAUCAUUGAGACUGACUUCUCUUGCUCUCAUUUCAGUCAGCAUAGCAUAAUUGAAGCCCAAGAGAUUUUCGACUGACAUUUCAAAAUGAGGCAGAAACUCCCUUCAUCCCAUUGAAUGUUCUGUUUGAAACGGAAGCAAAACCCAGAAACCAGUUGUAUGUAAAACUAUUGUAAUUUUUAAUUUAAAUACCAUUGAUCUUCCUCACAAAUACGUUUUUUUUUCUUUUUUACUCCUGUUAUUGAAAGCUACAACAGCAAUCCGUCUUUAUCCUCCUGCCUUUGUCCAAUCAAUGGCUGGGCUGCGGCUUCUCUGAUAUCCAAGACGUUUUAAGACUUGAGCUGAAUGCGUGAUCCUAACUCCCUUUAUCCAGUGAUGUAGUGGAUUUUGAUACCAUCUUCUGAUAUAAUGCUGUUUUAUAACGUCAUCUGGCAUCACCUCACGCCCCCCUUCUAAUUAAACAUUCUGAUGAAACUAGCAGUCCCUACGGAUCCCUGCAUGAACUAGCAAUGGAAGCAUGAAGGAAAGUAAGUGAGGGCCUGAGAAUGUCGAGAUACCGUAUUUUGCAUAAUUGCUCAGUAAUCAGAAUCAAAAUGCAGCUAGAAACGAUGACAGAAAGCGAUGAACUUGUCUCCGACUCCGUCUCUACAAAAGGAAUGCUCUCGUUGUUGGAUGCCGGCCUACAAAUCCUUCAGUGUUUAUAGCAGCUGGCUGCAUCAAGGGGUCCAUCACUAGAUCAAUACAUGGUCAUUCUAACCAUUACCUACGUUUGAGGCCUUUGGUCUGACCCAGUUAGGGGGAAGAUACAAGAAGGAAUGUUGGAACAUGGCCCUUCGAUUUCCCAUAGGAGCACAUCUUCCAAAUAUAAUUGGCAGUAGUCAUGGUUGUUGAUUCAAAGACACAGGUAGCCAUUUCCAAUUGUUGCUAGCAUGAAAGCUUUAUAUAAAGCUAUAACUCAUUACUUUAUUGGUUGGACAAUCAAAUACAUCAUAAUAAUAGAACAGGCCAUUGAGAGGAUGGAACAUUAUCAGAACCCAAAUGACAUGACAUUCAUCCCAGCAUGACAAAAAGAACUCAUCCCACCAUGACCAAAAAGAAAAAAAAGAGAGAGAACCAGCAUAAAAGUGAAAUUAAAAUCAAAAGAAAAAUUGAAAGCUAACUACAAGACCAAGAACGGACGAUGAAGAAGCUUCUCUUUUCCGGGGAGGAGGGGGGGUUUGAAGUUUUCGAAGACCGGAAGCUAAUGAUAAUUGCAUACAAGCAAGACUUAAAUCCUUGUACUUCAUCUCAGACAUCAGAAACCCACCCAGGCACGACUGUCGAAGGAGCCUAAUCCUUGUACUUCAUCUCAGACAUCUGAAACCCAGGCAUGUCGAAGGAGCCAGAAAACUUUUCAACAUCAGCCUUGAGUGCCUCAAUGUCCUUGUUGUUCACCAGACCCUUGUUGAAGUCCUUCAAGAGCUUUCCAUAUUCCUUUUGGAUGCUCAGCGUGAUG
Molecule: long non-coding RNA, 57921 nt
Filed under: Populus trichocarpa (black cottonwood)
Lineage: Eukaryota; Viridiplantae; Streptophyta; Magnoliopsida; Malpighiales; Salicaceae
Description: long non-coding RNA (PTRI_LNC000320)
Source: RNAcentral